AAAAAAAAAAAAAAAAGUGUGCUUGUCUGUAAAGUCACUGAUUUGAUUGAUAAGUGCAAGGAUCAUCACUUUUUGAUUAAGGCAUGUGGCUAAAUAAUCUCGAUUGUUCUCGUGACUUGUACUAGUAUUAUCUUAUCAGUACGACUUUAAUCAUAUGGUAAAAUGACUUUAGCAACUGUUUAGGAUUUAAAGUGCAUAAUUUUUCUUACAAUAUAUCGCUGAUGAAGUCGUUGAAACUUGAGGCAUAAAAUUAUAGCAAUGUUCUGAGUAAGGGGUCAAUUUAGCAACACCGGAAGAUCCUAAAUUUUUAUAAUUCCUUCACCACAAUCUAUGUUUUCAUUUUCCUUUUGACAAAACACCUAACAACUUCAAAAUUUCAUUGACUUAAAUUUUAAUAUAAUUAUAAAUAUAUACCAUGUAAAGUAGGCAACGUUACGCGACAUAAUUAAAACAGAUUUAAAUGCUUAAUCCAACAUUGAUCCUAGAAUUUUACAUUAGUAUUGUUAUAAAAAUAAUUAAUAGGUAACAUGACAUCGAUUAAAAUUAUUCAAAAGGGGGUUGGUCAUUCAUUCGCUAGCCCCUGGUCCCUUCACAGAUAAGGAAGACUCUGACUCCCGUAAAGGAAAUGUCAAUUUCACAGCCAUGAGUCAAUCUUGCAACAGAGUUUGUAUUGACCACUCAAUAUGCAGAUUCAAUGCAAGUUCCAUUUUCUUGACAAAACAUUUCAGCCUUAAUUUAUAUAUUUCAGAGAACAAGGCAUGCGUCAGUGAUUUGUUCACGUCUUGAUGUUUCCUUUGCCCCCUUUUACCUUUUUUUUUUUUUUUUAAUAUCACUUCCCCACUUCUAAAUGUUAAGUUAUCAUGCACGUUAUUUCCAUUUCAGACACUUUUUUUUUUCUCUUCUUUAUAAAUAAACCUUCUACAAUUUCUGCUAACCCCCCAAUAAAAAUGGUAAUUUAAAUUAUUUUAAAAAUAUAUAUUCAACAAAUAAUUUUAUAUGUGGCUGCAAGGCUGCAACCUUCCCCAGGUGUUGAAAUGUACUUUCAACUUUUAAGCUGUUAAGAGUCGGUCUUAUUUGGCCACUCAAGGUUGGGAGUAGGAAGCAACGAGCAAUCUGAGGUUAUGUAGAAUAACUACAAAUUAAUAAAAUAUUAUCCUGAUGAUGUUGAGUCUGCGUUCACACGUUUUUGAAGACAUAUUGCAUUCGACUUCUAGAAGACAAUGUUGUUUCAAAAUUUGACUAAAUUAUUCGAAUGUAUCGAUGUACACAAGUCAUUGAAAUUUGCUGCCGAGGAGCAAGUAAAUGGCCUUCCAACUGGCAACUUAAUUAAUUAACUUAAUUAAUUAUAACAAAAUUAAAAAAUACUGCUGCUAUUUGACAAUUUGUUUAUCGUCCUUAACAAGCACUAAGAAAGCGACCAAAUUUCUGCAGUUUCGUUGUUUCUUUUCUUUUAGGCAACAUUAAUUAAUAUACAUGUUUGAUUUGUGGGGUUCUCUUGAUCUUAAUUUGACACGGUAAAUUCAGUUGAUUACUUUCUAAAUUGAUAAACAAAUUUGAAAGAAUAAUAUUAAAUAUAAAAAGUUAUUUACCUAUUAAAGACUUUCUAAUUUUUCCCGUCAAUUGAUUAACUAUAAAAUCUGGAAAUCAUAUAAGAUUUUCAAAUCAAAACCCAUUUUACAAGAAUGAAUAAACGAGCCAAUGGUUAUCAAAUAGCAAUUCAAGAUUCGUGCUCUGAUACGCAAUAUCAUAAUCAGGAUUAAGUUGCCGACUUGUUAAUAGACUAUGCGGAAAUUAAAAAGUUUCCUAGUUUACUAUGUGGAUGGAUAAGUGAAAAUCUUUGUCCGGUGAAAUUCGAGAUGUAUGAUCUUAUUAAAUUUGACCAUUUGUCUUCAUUAAUGUGACAUUUCAUGGAACAUUUCUUUCGAAGUUUUGCUUCUUGGAAAGAUCAGUCUCGUAAAGGCAGCACUAUUCACUUAGUAUCCUAACUCUUGUGGUAAUAAUUCCAGGAGAGGUUAAUUGAUCUUACUUACGCAACAUGCAUUUACGAUGAUUUUUUGUUAAAAAAAAAAAAUCCAAAUUUUACUAUCUUUUAUUUUUAUAAGAAAAUGGUGUCAUCAUAGUAAAUAAUUGGUCUGUUUUGAUAGAUUUACUAGAUUCCUAUACUAAUGAACUAAUUGUUGGAAGAAGAUUAUAAACAGUCACAUAUUUUAAAACUUAAGUUUCAACAUGUGCCUGCACUUUUAUUUUUUAAUUUAGGCUCGUUUAGCAUUAAGGUGUUGUGUCGACUGUUAUAAAAAAAAUUUGUAACUAUAAAAUAAAAAUUGACAUUUCAAAAUAAAUAUGAUUUAUAAAAAAAACCCUAAAGAAUUAUAAAACAUUUAAUAUAUAAAUAUAAAAUAAAAUAAACUUAAUUUUUAAAUUAAAAUAAUAAAUAUUUAUCAAAUAUUUCAUUAUAAUAAUUUUAAAUUAUAACAAUGCUCUCACGUUUGACAAAAUAGCACCUUAGUGUUGUAUUAUUGUUAAAUAAUGAUACAAAGAGGAGAGCUUGUCAAUUUAUAACGGAUAAAGGAAGGAAAAAGAAAAUUCACAAGUUAGUGAUGAGAUCUGCGUUCCAAUGGAGGAUGCCAGAUUGCCAGAUACAAUCAAUCACAUUCACUUUUGUAUUUGAUUUUUUUCGGUCAAAACACUUGAUUACAGCGGCGUGAGAAUGACUUGUUCACAUCAGAGUCUACAUCAACUUUUUAAAGGCAUGAGUAGGGGAAUGAUUCAUUGUUCAUAGUUAUCUUGAUGGUGCCUAUAUUUCUGUAAAUGGGUUUUCUUUUAACUUUAAAAUGACAUUUUCGAUUAGCUAUUUAGCUUGGCCGAAACAUGUACAGGAAAUUAUGAGCAUUAUUGUUUUCCAUUUUUUUGAAGCAUGCCAUUAGUGGAAUAUCAUCACUUACCAUCAUAGUAAGAUUCAAAUCUACACGCAUCCUCACCACAAUCGAUAUUUGAUACCAAUUUCGCAUUUAAUUUUCUCCUUAAAAUAAAUAUAUAAUUCGACUGAAAAAAGGGAGAAAUAAUUAGAGGAAUAUUGAGAAAAAUAGUUAUUACAUUACUUAAUUAUAUAGUUAAAACACGUGACAUAUUACGAUUUGUUUUUUUUUUGUGGGGGGGGCGCAGUUCUACCAAUUAUAUCAUGAAAUGAGUGUGAAUUACAUUUGUUCGCUUUAUUUUCCCCCUCAAGAUCAGAGAUAAUGGAAAAAAUUUCCACUUCUUUCUUCUUAUCACUUAUCUUCUCUUAUAAUCAUCAAAUCAUGAGCUAAAUUAUUCUCUUAAAUACUAUUAAACUAGCACUAAGUUAUUAUCAUUUGAAAAUUAAUGACUAAAUAAAAGUAUAAAACAAUCCCCCACAAUAAAAAAAUGAAGUUUUCAAGCAUGGUAGGUUUGAAAUUUAAUUGAAGCCAAAAAAGGAAAACCGAUAACAUACCGUAUAAAUAAAGACACAACGCUAAAAUUUUGAUAGAUUUAAAGAUAAAAAUUACUUAUAGUUUAGCAAUACAAACCUUUUUUUUAUAUAUAAAAAGUAAGCUUUUUAUUAAUUCACAUUAGUGAAAACUGAAAAUAUUUAAUCUUUGCUGGUAGAGUUCAGCCAUACAAUAAGACUAUUGUGUCCUAAAGUUAAUUCAGCUAAGGAGUGGGCAUAAGCAAUAAAUUAUUCAAAGAUGCAUUGAUAUUUUACAUGUUGAAAAUCUUUAUUGUUACUUUGGAGACUAUCCAUAAAAUUUCCGAUUUGCUGCCCUGCUUGUUGUUUACUAAUCUUGCAACAUUCUGACAGUCAAUUUUUACGGCUUUAGAUUGAAACUCUGUAUUUUUAGCCGCCUGAAAAUCUCGUUUUACAAUUUCAAUCGCUGAAUAUUUAACAUUUUCACCAACUUGAAUUUGCUUAAUUGCUGCAAAUACAAAUCAUAUUUGGUAAGCAUUAUCUAUCGUGAAAGACUCUUUAUCUUGUAAUAGGUAAAAAUUCUCAUAAUUUUCCUCUAAAUUUAAAAUCAUUGCUAUUUAAUGAAAAUCUUAUUAUGCAAAUUGAAAAGGAAACCUAUCGUUCAAAAAAAAAUGAAGAAACAUAAUUACUGAAAAUUUCACAACGCAAAUUGAAAAGGAAAAUAUAUAUUAAUGAAAAUCUUGUCAUGGGACCAGAAAAAGAGAAAUAUUUAAUGAAAUCUUUAUAUGCAGUAUCUUCAAUUGACCAAAUGAUAACAAAAAUCACAUGAUUUUUUUUUUUUUUUGAAUAAUUUAGGUAAGGUAUCAACAUCUUAUGGUUCGGAUGAGAAAGAACCCGAGGCAUUGUAACCUCUUUUAAAUAAAUAAAUUCUUAGAUAUAAUUUAAAAAAACAUAUAUAAAAUAAUGGGACUUAGUUUAGUCUAGCCCAUCUUAGGACCAUCCGCACAUCAGCAAUGCUCAUGCAAUAAAUUAAUGAAAAAGGAAAGCCAAGGAAACAGAAUGUGAAUCAUCACGCUCUCAAUGUCAAAACACCUCGUGGCAAUAGACUUAGCAAUUGAAAUUGCAAUUAAUUGACUCGUUAUGGUCAAUGGAGCGAUACAUCGAGGAGCAAAGACAUGGGACCCCACAAGUCCAGAUUAAAAUAUUAUAUAUAUACACACAUAUUAUUUUUCUUUGUUAUUUGCACAUUAGAUUUUUCAGUCUUGUGUGUGUAUAAAAUUAUGAUUUUCUCUUAGUUUGAUUAUGUACUAAAUAAAUAAUUUAAUUAUUAAUAGAUAGUUAAUAAAUAAAAAUUAAAUUUUAUCUAUAUAUUAUUAUUAAAAGAUACAUAAUAAUAAAUUUUAAAAAAAUUAAAAGAAAUCAGACGAGGGGAUGAUCUUUUUCUAUCUAAAUUUAAAAAAUAAAGAAAAGAAAAAAGAAAAAUCAAAAGAAUUUAAGGCCCUCGAUAGCAUAAAUACCAAGCAGACGUACAAAGCCAGAUGGCUCGUCUUUAUAGUUAGUAACGGCUCUGUUCUGUUUCUCCCCCUCUCCCUGUCGUUCAUGCAUUAGCAAAUCCUCACCCAUUUAAAUUCAUCAUCACCCCCACUUCCGAAUUUCUCAUCAACCCCCUUUCUCCUCUGUCUCCUCUCUAUGUGCUUUUGUGUUUUCGGUUUUUCAUAACAAAAAAAAAAAAAAAAAAAAAACGAAAGGAAAAAAAAUUAGAAGUAGUAGCCAUGGUGGUUCAGUCACAGCCAGCAGCAUUAGACCCUUUAUCAAAUUUAAUCAAAUCAUGCAAGCCGACGAGUCUGUUCACAGAAAUUCCUGAAGUAGACCUCACGGACCCUGCAGCUAAGACUCAAAUAGUAAAGGCCUGUGAGGAAUAUGGCUUCUUCAAGGUUGUUAAUCAUGGGGUGUCAUUGGAGCUCAUGAACAAAUUAGAAGCUGAAGCUGUCAAAUUCUUCAGUCAGUCUCAGUCUGAGAAAGACAAGGCUAGCCCUCCUGACCCUUUUGGCUAUGGCAGCAAAAGAAUUGGCCCUAAUGGUGAUGUUGGUUGGAUUGAAUAUCUCUUACUCAACGCCAACCCUCAACUCACUUCCCACAAAACUCUUGCCAUUUUCCAAGAACGCUCACAGAAAUUCCGGUAUAAUAAUAACAACAACAACAACAACAAUAAUAAUAAUAAUUCAACAAAGCCACCUCUUUUCCUUGUUUUUCUUGUUUGGUUUUCAUUAGUUUAAUAUUAAAAGUUUUGGACUUACAUGUGUAUGGAUAUGGUGUUAAUUUGGUGGUUGUGUGUAUGCAGGCGUGCGGUGGAUGAGUACAUAGUAGCAGUGAAGAAAAUGUCAUAUCAGGUAAUGGAAUUGAUGGCAGAUGGGCUGAACAUAACGCCAAGGAAUGUGAUGAGCAAGUUAUUGAAAGAUGAAAGGAGUGACUCGUGCUUCAGGCUGAACCACUACCCGCCUUGCCCAGAUCAUCAGCUGCAAGCAUUGAGUGGUAGAAAUUUGAUUGGGUUUGGGGAGCACACUGACCCUCAAAUUAUUUCUGUCUUAAGAUCUAACAACACAUCUGGCCUCCAAAUCCAACUCAGAGAUGGCACUUGGGUUUCAGUCCCAUCUGAUCAAUCUUCUUUCUUCCUCAAUGUUGGCGAUGCCUUGCAGGUAAAUUAAUUUUGCAAUACUCCCCUUUUCUUCUCUCUCUCUUCUCCCCUUUUUUAUUAUUUUUUAAAAAAAAAUUUGAGUUAAUGGACUUUUUGAUCUCCUUAGAUACUGUCUUUUAUGGGCCUCUUUUUAUGUUUUUCUUCUAUAUCUCUCCAAAAGCUAAAAGGUUUAUUACUUAUUAGCCACCUAGACGUUUUUAGAAAUUAUAAAAUAUUUUGAGUGGUAAAGUUACUUCUCUAAUUUCUAUGAUGGCAAUAUUUUUAAUGAAUUUUAUUAUUAUUAUUAUUAUUAUUAUUAUUAUUAAUGAAUUUUAUUAUUAUUACUACUUUGUUUUAAGGAUUGUGAUUUAUUAUUACUGAUGUGGGCAUGGGCUUGAUUGAUGCAGGUAAUGACUAAUGGGAGGUUCAAAAGUGUGAAGCAUAGAGUGUUGGCUGACACUAACAAAUCAAGAAUUUCAAUGAUAUAUUUUGGAGGGCCACCUUUGAGCGAAAAGAUAGCGCCUUUACCAACUCUAUUGGCAGAAGAAGAGGAAAGCUUGUAUAAGGAAUUCACAUGGUGUGAAUACAAAAUGUCUGCAUACAAGUCAAGGUUGGCUGAUCACAGGCUUGGGCUGUUUGAGAAAACUACUGCCAAACGAUCUGGUCAAAUUUCCCCAAAUUAGCAAAUAUUAGGGUUUUUGUCGAAGUUUUCAAAAGUAUGGACAAAACUUGCCACAGAUGGAAAACAAAUAGGUUGUACUUUUUUUUUAUUUUAUUUUUCAAUUUCUGCCUUAGUUCUUAAAUGCAACCACUACUACCUAUGUACUAUUUACGCAAGUUUCUCAUCUUUAUGUAUAAUACACCGUUAAAUAUAUUAUGUUAUAUUUCCUUUAAUCACCGUAAGUUUAAUGUUUCUUAUAAAAAUGAUGCUGCUUAAGUGUCCUUUUAAUUGGAACAUUCCCAUUUCUACACUAUUUUUAUUCUUUAUUUUUUUUUUUCAAAAAUUCAUUUAUCGGUAUCACAACAUACAGAGAAUACUGAAAUCUUUGUGAGACAUGACUAUUUUCAAAUUAUAACACACUAUAUAUAGUGGUUUUUUUAUUCGAAAUUUUAAAGUGUGGGAUAAUUCAGGAAAGUUUUAAAACUGUACGGUUUUAAAAUAUUAUGAAAUUUAAUAUUUUAAAACGGUAGGAUUAUAAAAUAUUAUGAAAUUAACAAAAUAUAUAUAUAUAUUUCCACACCCGAUUCAAUUACCAAAUCAGUUGUUUUGUAGCCGCUUGAAUAUGAGCUCAAAUCAGUUUGCUCUUCCCGUUGUAUUAGGUUUUAAAAAGAUAGGGAAUGAGAAAAAUUCAAAUUAACUUUUUAGUCUCCAACUUCAUGUUGUUAUUAUAAAAUUAGAUAUAUUAGAAUUUUUAGUCCCACCUAAGAUGCCACAAGCAAACAUUAUCAUACAAGUAGUAAGCAUACAAAUCGAUGGGGAAAAAAAAUCAAUUAUAAAUCAUCGAUUUUAAGAAGCAUCCUUUAUUUUAAUACCUUAUGGAUCAAGCUAAAGCAUAAAAAUAUUAAUAUCAAUAUAUUACAAGACAAAUUAAAUUGCAUUUAAAAUGGAGUUUUUUCUUGUUUGAUCUUGACUCUAGUGGAUCCCUAAUUUCAAUAUGUAUAUAUGUAUGUGGGUGUGUGUGUAUAAUUCUCUAAUGAUGACAUCUUCAUUUGAAAAAAGUGAAACUGUCACUAACAAAUAAAUAAGUACAUAUUUUAAAAUACUAACAAAUUGCAUUGAAAUAUGUGUUUAUUUGUAUUUCAAUAACAUCUUUAUUUUAUUAAAAUGAGAAUGCACUCAUUAGAAAAAGGGAAUUUGUGCGUAUGUAUGUAUAUGUAUGUGUGUGUGUGCGCGCACAUGCAUAUAUAUUGAAGUUUGUUUUUUUUUUUUUUGUCUGCUAAUAGCAUCCUCACUUUGUUAAAAUAAAUAUGCUCUCAUUAUUAUAUAUAUAGGUAUUUCUCCUAACAAAGUAUUGUGAUUUUUAUCCUCACAUGGUAUAAUAUAGAAUUGUUAAUUGUUAAAUUAAACUGGCAUUGAAGUAUUAAUUAUGCACCAUACUUGGUGCCACAAAUGUUCACCUUAUCAACCAUAUACUUUAUAACUAUUGUAUCAUUAAAACUUGGGGGAUUGUUAAUUUUCCUCUUUUGAAAUUAUUAUAUCCCACUUAUCUCUUUACCGUUUUUAUAAUAUUAAAAAAUUGUCACUAAACUUUUUUAAAAAAAAGUAGGGAUAAAUGGAUUAUUUGUUUGAUAAUUUAUCUUAUAAAUAUAAAAUAUAUGUUUAUUAUAAGAAAAAUGUUAAAAAAAUCAAAAAAUAUAAGAAACAUAUCUUAUUUUAAAUAUUUUUUUUAUUCACACCAAAACAUAUAUUUUCUUAUUUUUAACACUUAGAUUUUUUAAAUUAAUUUCUAUCAAUAUGAUUUAUUUAAUUUAUAAUAAGUAUGAGUAAAAAUAUAUUUAAAAAUAAUGAUAUUUCUGUAAAAUUAUAUCGCUAAAGAGUGAUUGGCUAUUAAAAAAAAAAAGUGAUAUAUACUAAUUUUUAUAUGAGAAAAACUGACAACCUCACUUGAAAUUUACUGGAAGCAAAGUCCCAAUUAUUGCAUACGCCCGUACAAAAAGAUGCGCGUCAUUUUUUUUGGUUUUUCUGGGCAGUUACUCAAUUAGGUGUCGCUCUUUCUAGACAUAAUGGGUUAUGGAGAGAGGGAGGGACAAGCUAAGCUCCACAUCCUCGUUCAAAUAAGAGAGACUGCUGAGCUGAUGACCAGAUUCUGAAAAUGAAAGAUUUUACUUAUUAAUGAAGAUUGAAGAGCUUUAGUGCCCAAGUCUUUUCAUGAAGAGUUUGUAUUGACUAACCAACUGGUGUUUUACCAUCUCAAUCCGACAUUUCAAUUUAUGAUUCGGCAUUCCAUUACCUCUUCCAAUAAAUGAGAUGGCAUUACAAUCCACUAAUUAUAUGAUCAGUAAGUAUUGGCAUUUUUUUUUUCUAGCUCAGUGAUCAUCGGCAUUAUUGGACGCAUUUUUGUAAUGACAUUUUUUCAAUUGAUUGGAAGUGUCAAAUAUAAUAGAGGUCAGUGUUCUAGUUAUUAUUUACUGUAGAAAUUUAGGAUCUUUCAUACUUUUAAUAUUUCAGUCCAAAAGUUUAUGAGUAUAGUUUAAAAUUUUGAACUUAUCAAGAGGUGAGAUCUCCACCUUAAUAAAUAAGAAUAUAUUUAUCUCUACUUUAAAAUAUAGGAGAAAAACCAGUGCUCUCUCCACUGAUUACUACGAAAGGCAUGAGUAGUAAUCAGCAGCAUUUAAAUUGCCAAUUGCCCCCAACAAUAAGUUGAUAUUAUAACUUUUCAAUCAUCCAUACUUAGAUAAACUCUUACUCUUAGAAGUAGCUUUCCCACUUCAAAAUAAUGAUCCGAAUAUUAUGUUUUUUAUUUUUCAAAGUAUUGGGAUGAAAUGGUAAUAAUAAAUCGAUCAUUUGGUUAAAUAAAGUAGUUGAUUAUUUUAAGGGAUAUGGUUCGCUAUAUUCCCCUGAUUUAGUGCUUUCACUUGCUAUUUUUUAUUUUAAUAAAUGGCUCCUUUAAUCGAGGUUUUCUUCAAAAAGAAAAAAUAAAUAAAUAAAUAAAGUUGACGCGCUUGUUGUAGAGACUAUAGUGAUGAACGAUUGAUAAAUUUGGCACUAUGCUUAGUAGCAAAUGGUUGACAUAUUCAAUGUGUAACAGGAAAGUUUUUUCUUUUAAGUCUCUCCGAUUUUAUACUGUUGAAUAUUGAUAAAAAAAGAAACUUAGGUCUUUCAUGUUUUUCACUUUUACUCCACAGCUCCGCUUUAUAGUCUGUGGAGAAAAAGCACAAUUUUUGACUUCUUUUACUAUUACAACUUUAUAUUAUUAUAUAAGUCUAAAUGACGUGUUUAUUGAAAUGUGCAUGCAUGUCAAGUGUUGUUCUAUAUGUUCAAAAGUCAAAUUUAUCCUUCUUUUUUAUUUUUUAUUUAUUUAUCAUUCAACAGUACAGUUCAAAUACUAAAAUUAGAAUGUCCGAAAUGUAAUCGGCAAUUAAAAUAAAUUUAAGAACAUAAGCGGUAAAAAUGAUAAAUAUUGGGAGGAACUAAGGAUCCUCAACCUGUACAAUGUCUAGGAAAUUAACAUCCAUUCAAUUUUCUUUUGGUUCUUUUGUAUAGAAAAUGUGGGUUUUAUGAGUUGAUCAAGUGCAUAGUAGUUUUUCCCUUCUAGCUAGCUAGCUACGACUACAAUGCAUCUGAUGCAUUUGAUAGAUCGAUUUGAAUAAAUGUGAAGUUUUUACAUAUAGUAGUGGUAUGACGAAUAUAACUAUUUUUCCUAAUUUAUUAGUGGUAUGAAGAAUAUAAUAAGGGGUUUGGUUAUGUUGGAGUUGCUCUAAGGUAGAGCACUCAUUUAUAACCACACGAUCAAAGUUAUAAUGUGUUUUUUUACUAUUUAUCAUUUUGUGUGUGUGGCUGAGAUUUGUGCUCCACCGUAGAUUUGUUCCAACAUAGCCAUAGUCUAUAAUAAAACAUAAAGAAACUGGUGCAUUACAGAAUUUUCUUGUACUUGCAAAAUCACUAGUGGAUCUGAUCUAUUAUAGUCUGACCCUUUUUCUUCUCCUCAUGCUCGACAAUUGUACUUUGUUGUGUUAUAGAUACUUGCCAACGAUAGAACACUUAAACAAAUUUGACAGUUUUUUUUAAUUACAUGAGACAAUUGAUCAUAUUACGAUUCAUAUUACAUGAGAUUACAACUAAUAUUUACAAUCAGAUAAUUACUGAGAUUAGUUUACAUUAAAUUUUAUAUAGCACUGCCCAUAUUUUAACUCGAGAAACGUUAGCUCCACUCACAUUUUUGUGGGGGUGGGGCUUGGAACCACACAUAUUUGACAGUUACUCCUUGAAUUUAGUACUUUUGAAUCAAAAGCAAUUAAUGUCAAGCACCCAAAGCAAUUAGUCAGCGAGGUAAAAUAAUCUUUUUUGGCAAAAUCGUAAUAUAUGAUGAUCUCAAUUAUCAAGCGUUUUGUAUAUUAUGGAAAACUUUAGGAGCAAGGUGAUAAUAACCCUGGUAUAUAUAUUAUAUAUGUGAGGUAAAAUCUUGGGAAUAUAUAAACUGCCAUGUAUAUAACAUACAGCUUCAUUGACAUAAAGAGGUGUCCGACCAGUGCCCUAAUGUUUGUAGAAUUAUUAAAGGUUCAGUCGUAUUCUCUGCUUAGAAUCCAGGAACAUUAUUUUUGCACGGAUUCCUCAAAGGUACUUGAUAUAAUUUUCUCAUCAGCGCCCAUUUACCUAAAAGGAAAUACGAUCCAAAACAUAUAUGGCAAAAAAAUGUCGUAGUGUUUGCAUUGUGCCUGCCUAUUUUUGACCUAGUCAUCCUUUCGAAACCUAGCUCUCUAAUAUGAUUGGUUCCAUUUCCAUAUAGUCAACAUAUUUCACACAAGAUUUUUCUACGUACAUUAAGGAUAAUGUACAAAGAAUUUGUUGCCACAGACAUGGUACUAACAACACGUGAAAGGUUUUAUUAUUUCAAUCUUGAUGAGCUGUUUGAGUUUACUGUGUCGUGUUGACAGACAAUAAAAGAUAUUUAGAACAUGAGCUGUUUUUGUUGGAAACGAUUUCGAUCAGCUACUACGAUCUUUGAGAAGAGACGCUGCCCUGACAUUGUAUAACUAAGGAGUAACGACGUGUGUAUAUAUAUACACACACACUUCAGCUAAACACAUCCGAUGGUAAAAGGUAUAUAUAUAUAUAUAUAUAUAAUAUGGUCCUUCUCUAAUGCGGGCGUUCUCAUUUUAUUUUUAUGUGGAUACACUCUAAAAUCGUGGGGUUUAAGAGAAUUGGUUUUUAACUCUCUUAAAUUCUAUGAUUUUAUAGUUCAUUAAAAAAUUAAUCCGCAUUAAAAAAAUGUGACAUACUUGAGAAUGAUUUAUAUAUAACAUAUAUAAGAGCUCAAUUUGCGAUGGAGCUGCUCUUAAUUGUUUUGUGUACGUUGUUUACUUAUUUUAAUUGUUGAUGGUAUAAAGGCAUCUCUAGUGCCCAAGUCUUUGUCCCUGCUCCCUAAUCUUCAAUGUUGAAGAAUAUUGCCGAUUGUCUACCGUAUUGAUUGCUAUAAACUGAUGUUUAACGAAUGUGUCUUUCAUAUUUGUUUUAUAAUCAUGCAAAUUUGGUUGAAUGAAAAUUUCUCUUUGUUUUAUUUGACUUUUAAAGAAAGGUAUGUCCUAACCAUAUAAAUGAAUUUGUGUUUCAUCAUUUUGUUGAAAAGAAAAUUAUAUAAAAUAAAUUAAUUGACGUGUAACUUAUGCUCUGACUAACUAAUAAUGAGAUGCGCGCAGAUUUUUAUAUUUUUAAUUAUUAAUAAAAAGAUGAAGAUCCUCUUCUUCUUAUUAUUAUUAUUUUUUUCUCUCUUAUAAUCUUUCCAUCAUAUUAAUCAAGAAAAAUAAGAAACUUCUUUGCGGAUCACCAUUGAAAUCAAAUGAGAUUGUUCCAAUAAAUCUAAGAAAAGUGCAUAAAUGCCUCUAGAAUAUAUCAUUAAAUUCUCGUAAAUAGAAAUAAUAAUAAUAAUAAUAAUAAUAAAUUAAAAAAACGGCGGAGAGCAUGCCGUUUUUUUGUUCGAAAGGUCGCUUUCCAGUCAAAGAACCAGUCACAAUAAAGAAUUUUCCUUCGCAAGAGCAUCAAAUCAAAAGAAAGGGAGUUUACGUAGGUAUAUUAUUUAUUUUCACGACGAGAGAAAAAGUUAUCCCGCUAGUUUGGGCAGUUUGUUAUUGGCUGAAAGCAACUUAGUUGAAGCUUUAUCAAUUAUCACGGCCAGCUGCUCAAUCUGUCUCUAAGUUGGUGCUUACGCAAGACAUUGCGCCAUCUUGUUGUGAUCAAAAUUGAACGGUUGUUUUCAACCGCAAAUCUUUGCUCCUCUUCAAGUUCAUGCAAUCCAGAAAACACUAUUAUUAAUUAUUAGUAACUUUUUUGACAUUCCCUCUUCAUAAAUUAGGUUACUUGGCAUUCUUCCAGGAUUUGGUCUUCUUUAAACUUAGUCGUUGAAAUUUGAAAACUUUCUGACAAGUGCUGCUGCUAUUGGAUGUCGCUCUCGCAUUGAAUCGUGUUUAUUCUUUCGGCCGCCAGGUUCACUGAAUUCAUAAAUGCCAUAAAUAGUUUCUUCUGCUAGCAUAUAUAAAUCUUUUUUAUAUUCACAAUUAUAAUAUAUUUUUUUUCUGUUUAAUUCACUAUAUUUUGAGAUUUUAUUUAUUAAAUCUAAAAUUCAUAUAAAACAUCUAGGGUUCCGUCUGCAACUAUCUUUUGUUUCAGCUAUGAAAGUUUGAAAGUACAUAAAUUAAACACCACCGGCUUUGCAUAUAAAUUUACAAGUUGUAACCAGAUUUACUUGAUGAUAGAAAAAUCGAUAUAUCCCUUAUUUUACAACAACAGUUGGUUAAAUUUUACAAUGUAUGCCUUAAUUAAGAAAUGGACACUUAGACUAGUCGAAUCAAACCUGCUUAAUUUGAUGAGUGUUUUACUGAAAAUAAUAUAUUAACCCACGGGGAGAUUAUUCUAGUAUUCAAAUCCACAGCGGCACAGCUCAAGUGAUGAUAUUGAAAAUUGGUUUUACAAAAAAAAUAAAUAAAUAAUAAAAAUCGAAAGAACGAACACGAGGAGCACUACAUCAAUAUCAUGUGGGGGCUGGAGUUGUCUGAAGAAGAACGAUAAAAAUGAAAAGUUGGUGAUAUAUAUAAAGACCAAAGUUGGAUGAGAAUUAUGCGGUCCGACAAAGAAGUCAAUAAUCUCAAAUGAUUUUGGGCAAGUUGGUGAUUAUACAAAGAGGGCAACGAACGUUAAAUUACAUAUGCUGUGGUCCUUAGGACCACUUUUGUUCGUUAGGUACCUAUCAAGAAGAAUAAAAUGUUUGACAUAAAUUGCCCGUUUCAUGGGACGUACAAGUGUUCCAUUUAUAUACCACCCAAAGAGGACCCUAAAUUUUUUUUUUUUUUUUUCUUUUCUUGCGGUAUUCGAUUGAACAUUCCGCAUAAGUAUGACUUGGAAAUUAUAAUUCAAAUGGUCAGUGAAUAAAUAUUUUGUUUUAACUCACAAUGGGAUGAGUCUUUUGAUUUAACUCACGAGGAAGUCCACACUCACACCCCAAAUAAAACAAUAAGUGAGGCUCGACCCAUUAGAACUUAUUCUUCUGCCUUUUGUGUAUCGGGGCAAAGGAGCAGCAAUGUCCCAAUUUACUAUAUCCACAUAAUGCAAAUGAUCUAAUCUCUCUCUCUCUCUCUCUCUCUCUUGGUUGGGGGGGGGGGGGGGGGGGGGGGGGCGGGAAAAAAAGACCUGGACGAUAUAAAAGGAAGGUUAGCAAUUGAAAAAGAAAAUGAUUUGAAUCUUUUACAACGAGCAAGGUUAAACAACACAAUGAUCUAACACAUAGUCCUCAUACUGUCUAAACUCAGUUGUAGAUAAAAUAAAAAAAAUUUGUUGUUUGAUGUGAUGGAAUUUUCCAUCAUCUCUAUAAGGUGCAUUGCACACUCACACUUGUGUUGAAAAGAGGAGGUGACAAGUAUUCGCCCAAUACUCUAACGAGUGCUUUUUCUAUGAGCCUUUGUGGAAGUAUUGGUAAAACAAAUAUCUAUGUUCCACACUCUGCAGCUCUUAAAUUUAUAACAGUUUCUCACUGGGAGAAGCCCAUCCCGAGAGCCCAUAACUCCAUCCUCGGGAAAGCAUCACUGCAUUCAUUAGGCUGCUACUGCCAAUGAGAAAUGGGUCCGCAGUUCAGACUGUGUGCUAUGCCGCCUGUUCACUGGGUCUGCAGUUCAGACUCUGAGCUGUGGCGCUUGAUGUCCAAUUACAGAGCCCAUCAAAACCCAAUCCGCUGUCACAGAAUUAGAUCGAAAUCUUUUGAAAUAUUAUUAUUGAUUUUUUUUUUUUAAGAUUAAAAAGAAAGUCUAGAACGCAAAAGUGUUUGUGAAGAGAAAAAAAUAUAAGAGACUUUUUGGCGUAAUUGUAUGGGUGUAAAGAGUUAGAGAAAGAAAUAUAAGACUAUACUUAGAUUUUUUUUGUUCUUUAAUGUAAUUUGUAAUAGGAAAGGGGUUCUGAAAGGAAUACAUAGGGGUGCAAAUAGUCAAACUCUUCCAUGGAUUCUCUUUGGACCAUAUUUGUUGCAUCACGUUGGCCCCUUGUGUUGUCCAUUUUGCUUUCAUGAAUUGUUGGCCCAGGGUAUGGUAUGACCAUAAAAUUGUUCCAGCAACACGUCCUCCAAAAUUAUAAACUAAGUGGCCGUUUAGAUUUUAGAACAACUGCGCUGUGACAUUUAUUUUAAGAGAAUCCUCCUGAAAUAAAGGGGGUGGAGCAGUUGCCACAGCGCAGCUGCAUAACACAGCUUCUCCAAACGAAUCCUAAUCAUGUAAUCUCAUUGGACAAUGAUCCACACACACACACAUAUAUAUAUAUAUAUAUAUAUGUGUGUGUGUGUGUGUAUAGGUCUUAUUGUAUAUACAUAUAGUAGUUACACGAGAUAAUAUAAGGGAGGUCAUCGAUAAGAUACUGAAUAACAUAAAGAUCUUUAAAAUUGAUAUAGAUUAUCUGCUCGAUAUCAUCAUCAUCAUCAUCAUAGUUGAUAAUAAGAAUAAAAGAAAACUUUUAGACUUGUUAUAUAUUCAAAAACUUGUUCAAAACUAAUAUAAUGAAACAAAUAUAAGAGUUUACUACUAGGUAUUUUACUUAAAAAAUGAGAGUGUUGUUCAUACAUAAUGAUGCUAUGUACCCAUUUUUCAGGGGAUUAUUUCAAAAAAAAUUAUUAAUAUUAAUAUUUGUUCUAUUCUUUUAGUAAUAAUUGCUAUAGUAAUAAUUGAAGAACUCGAUUUGCAGGAAAAAAAAGAAAAGAAAAGCAGAUCAAUUCUACACUCGAUAAAUACCAAUACAUAAUUCUCAAGAGAAAAAAAAAAUGAUUUCUUUGUUCAUUAUAUAACAAACUCUUUUUAAAAUCAUGAAAUUUCUUUCUUUUUUUAGUCACGAAAACUAUCUAGAAACUAUCAAAAAAAGGAUAUAAUUCUAAUAUCUUUUAAUUUCAUGAUUAUUUUGAAUUUUACCUAUCUUGGUUACAUUUGAUUCUCUUGUUCCAUAAAGAGCCUUUUUUUUUUUUUUUUAUAUAGAAUAUUAACACUGUAGUGGUUCUAGUUUAGUGGUAAAAGUGUAAAAUAAGGAAAUGGCUCCAUGUGCUCAAGUUCAUAAUUUGGAUUUUGAUAUAAGAGCACUCACAAAGUGUCUAAAAGAAGGGUUAUCUUGACAUAAGCCUGCUUAGUAGAGAUCUAAAAACAAGUUAACGAAUACUAUCAAUAUCUAUUGGAGGGGCUGCAAUAAAAGCGAUAUAGAAGGUUUAAUUGUCAAAAUUGAAUUUUUAGAUCCGUAGAUUUAUUAACAUCAAGUUCUUUAACUAUUUAAGUUUUAGGUUUUCAUAUUUCUAUUUUUAUUAUCAUUAUUAUGUACCUUUAUCUUUAGAUGUUUAAGAAGAGGAUGACUUAAUCCGGAAUAUGAACCAUAAAAAAAGUUAGCUAUUAAAAUUUAGAAAUGAGAAUAAUAAAAAGAUGUUGGGUGGUUAGUGUCAUAAAAUUUUGUGCAUUCAAAAGUUGUUAUUAAAAAUAAAAAAACUUAUGUUUGAUUAAAAAUAGAUAUGAAUUAGAGGGUUUCAUAAGAAAAGCAGAUUUUUUAUGACACUAUUUUUGGGGUUUGCACCAAAUAGUCGCACCCAACCAAGUCGUUAGAACCAGCCCACCAAAGCACCCUUUUAUAGAAAAGAAGAAACCAUCUCCUCAUUUAAAAAAGUACUAAAAAAUGUUAGGACAGCACGUACACUGUAGAGGAUCAUAACUUCACGGUUUAUAAUUUCCAAAUUUAUUAUUGGUCCCCCACAUGCUUUCUUCCACUCGUUUGGUUCUCCUCCGUUUCAGUUUAGUCUGGCAAUCCAACUCGCUGGCUGUUGUAGCGUAGAAACAGAGAGAGAAAGAUUUUUCUUUUUUCUAAUUUUUAUUCUUUCUGCGAUCUCUCUUUUACUUCGACUCUCCAAUUUAUCUGCAAUGGCCGACGAACCUAUGCCUACCCGCUGGACUUUUCAGGUACUUUGUUUAAUAAAUUCGCUUUGUUAUAUGUAAAUGUAAUUUAGUUUACGUUCUUUAGUAAUUGUGUUUGCUUUCGGCGAAAGUGUAGGAAAAGGAACGAAAGUUCAAACUAGCAAUCUUAGAUGAAUCUCCGACAUCGUUUUAUGACCCUAGAAAACGAGGAACUCAAGUAGAGUGAACUGAAUUUUACUGCAUGGGUUCUUUAGAUACUCACAUUGACUCUGAAUUUUACUUCAUUUUAAUAAUUUUAAAUCUGAAAAGUUAAUUAAGACUAUUUUUCUACUUAAGUCUGCUGGUUGAGAAAAUAUUAAUUAAUAAAUGAUUUCCUGUAUUCAAGUGACGUUGUUUUUGUCAAUUGUGAUCUAACUGAUAAAAGUGUGGAAUAGUAAAGUUCGCAAUAUGCAUUUCUUUUAAGCUAUUAUGUUUAUCUAUAGGAUUUUAAAAUGUUUUAUGAUGCCAAGUUUGGGAGAAAGAAAAUAAAGGAGCCGGAAAAAGGUGAGAUCACUGAAAGGCCGGUAUCUGAUGGGAGUUCUUUGAAUAGCAAUGGGCAUGUUCAAAACACAUCUGACAUGGCCGUUUAUGAGCAGUACAGAACCCAGGUAUUGCAUUUGCUUUAUCGUUUUGGACAGCAAGGUGUUUUUGUUGAUUUGAGUGCUGAUUUUUGCUUUUUGUAGUUCCAGGGAAGUGGCUCUACGUGCUUAAAUGGAGUUUUGGCUAAUGUAAUCAACGAGAGACUGUAAGAGCUAUUGAUUCAUUUUAUACUCCUAUGCAUUAUUAAGAUAAAGAAAAAAAAAAAGGGUCUGAUGCCUUUUUUACUUUAUUGUAAAUGUGAUGAAUUAUUUUUGAGAUGGAUUUCAUACUCUUGUCUACUUGUUGUGUUGUUAUGCCAUUGCCUAUCGCAUCCAAUGCAAAAGUAAACCAUAAAAGCAAAUGCAUGGUCCAAUAGUAAUUAGUUCUAUGAGAAGAUAUGAUGCCAUCGUAUUUUUUGUGUUAGCAAAUUUUUAUUGUUUUUUUAUUACUGCUGGCAUACUGCCUAUUCCUUUGACAAACUGCUGAUUUUGAUUUUUCUGUUUCAGACAGAAGCCUCUGCUUCCUAAUUUUGAUUCUGCAGAAACUCGUGCUUUAGCUGAGAGCUUAUGUAGGUAUGGUUGACUGUUACAGUUAAUGCUUUCAUAUAUGUCUGAAUAGUGAAGAUUCUGCAUUUUAACUUAUUCUUUCAUGGCUUUGUAGUAAUCAUAUUGUUUAAUAUUUUACCCUGUACAGGGAUAUAAUUCGUGGAAGUCCGGAUGUUAAGUGGGAAAGCAUCAAGGGGCUAGAGAAUGCCAAACGUUUACUUAAAGAAGCAGUUGUCAUGCCAAUAAAAUAUCCCAAGUAGGUCUUGCCCCGCCUCAUGGCCCUAGCUAUCUCUAUGCAAAUUUAUAGCAAACCUUUUACUCGUUUUACUUCACUCAAGAUGUGGCAUAGAACGUUAAGGCACAUGACAGAACACCAACCUCAGGGCUCUAUAAUGAAUCGGUACUUGUUGGAACAUUUAGAAAUUGUGUUCCAUGGAGCUUUCUAGCUUUUAAUUUGAUAUGUUAAUUGAGUCCACAAUCUCAUAAGAAAUUGCUGUUAUGUGCUUAUACUUAUCUUGUUCCUUCUUCUAGGUACUUUACUGGACUUCUAUCACCAUGGAAGGGUAUUCUUCUUUUUGGCCCACCAGGAACAGGAAAGGUUUGUGCACACACUAUCUAUUGUUAUUUUAGUCAUUUUACUUUUUUCUGUUUCAUUUUUUUUUCCAAAUCAUCUUUAAACUCCUCUUCGUUUUUUUGGUCUUUCCUUUUCGUUAGUUAUCUUGGAUGGAGCUUCUUUGCACUGUGUUGCUUUACUUAUCCACAUGAAACUGAUUUCUGACCUGAAUAAUCCUUUUGCACUUUCCUCUUCUUGUUUUUAAACCUGAUUUUAUUCAAGGAUGUUUGUAAGGUGAUUGAAAGUACUGGCUUUCUUUCUGGCUCUGUCUUUUUCUUUCUGCUUGAUAUUAUUUAAAUUAAUCACCAUUUUGAUGUCCAGACAAUGCUUGCUAAGGCUGUUGCUACAGAGUGCAAGACCACAUUUUUCAAUAUUUCAGCGUCUUCUGUUGUCAGCAAAUGGCGUGGUAAGUCACGGUUAAGCAGUUUUUUGUUAAGUUCCUAGUUUAUUUUAUCUGGAUGUUUGAGUAUGUUUAGUUACAUAGAGUAUGUACCUACUUCUUUCAAACAGUUUGGUACCUCGGUCAUAAUGAAAGCUAUAUCUACUUAUGGAGCACAUUGCAGGUGAUUCGGAAAAGUUGAUUAAGGUAUUGUUUGAGCUCGCAAGGCACCAUGCACCCUCGACUAUAUUUCUGGAUGAAAUUGAUGCAAUAAUCAGUCAACGUGGUGAAGCACGCAGUGAGCAUGAAGCAAGCAGACGUUUGAAAACUGAACUCCUAAUACAGGUAUUUUUUUCCUUUCUUGUGUGUAAUAGAUCUUUGUGCACAAUUUUGCAUUGUCAACUGCAACAAUUUAAAAGCAAUGGAUCAGAUAACCUGGUGUUGUUGUACUGACGUGGAAUUGUCUGCACUUCAAAGUUCUGUUUAAAAAUAAAAAUACAGUAGAUUUCAACUUCUAUUUUCUCAAAAAUUAUUGACUUCGAUAAGAUUGCAGAUGGAUGGUUUGACACAGUCAGAUGAACUUGUAUUUGUUUUAGCUGCAACAAAUCUCCCUUGGGAACUAGAUGCAGCCAUGCUUCGGCGUCUUGAGAAGCGGGUAUCCUUUUCAUUGAUCGCUUUAACGUGAAUUUUUGCUCAGACAAAAUAGGAUGAAUUGGUACUGGAUUUAACAAAUGAAGGUAAAGGAUCGGGUCUUAAUUUUCUGGGUUUCUGAAUGUCAAGAGAAAGGACUAUGGCAUUUAACAUGCACCAAGACUGCUAGUCCUAACUGAAUUUGUUCUGUAAAUAUCCUUGCUGAUCAAAUAUGAAUUUUUGGCUAGUGUGAUAAAGCUUUAGUUUGCUAAUGUGUAGUUUUUUCUGGUGCUAUAUUUGGUAAAGGCUUGCAGUGCUGUCCAUAUGAUUGUUGAUUUUUUGGAUGAGUACUAUUUUUCCUGUGGGAGAGCUGUGAAUUGAUUAGGUUGAUCUCAAAUAAUCAUUAUAUAUUUGGCUGAAUCCUUAUACUUAGCUACCAUGUGAAUAUUGGGUGGUAGUAUCCCUAACCUUUUCGUUCUCAGUUCUUACAUCAUUCUUCUACUUAAUUCAGUACUUCAUCUUGAUUUCAGUUUUUUGAUUAAUCAGCACAUUUUGCGUAGAUAUUAUAUGUUAUAAAAUUGUUCUCCUUUGACCAUGAUCAAUAAGAUCCUUGUACCUCUUCCGGAUACCGAAGCAAGGAGAGCCAUGUUUGAAUCGCUUCUGCCUUCACAAACUGGUGAAGAGAGCCUUCCUUAUGAUUUAUUGGUGGAAAGGACUGAAGGCUAUUCAGGUUCAGAUAUUCGGUUAGUCAGCAAAGAGGCAGCUAUGCAGCCACUGAGACGAUUAAUGGUUCUCCUUGAAGGCAGACAGGAAGUGGCACCUGAGGAUGGUAUGACUUUUCAAACUGUAUUCCUUGUACUUACAUCAUCAAUCGGCCUAGUAUCAUAGUUGGAACGUUGGAACUUUGAGUUAAACGAUUCUCACAAGAUUUUUUGCCCCUUUUUCCUCCAAAAGGGAACAUAAAGAAAAUAGGCACUUUCUGAUUAAACAAAUUAAGUGAGACUUCUCCAAUACUUGACCAUCAUAUCCCCACCCCCUCCCCCCUUCUAAUUUUCACUUUCUUAUCUUUCCAUAUAAUAUAUUUUUUAAAGGAACCUUUUCAUAUGAUUUUCAGUUCGGGACAAAAACUACUUUUUUGUAAAAAUCACUUUGCAAAGUGUUGAUCACAUCACCUUUCUUUUUUUGCUUUUUCCUGUCAUUGUUUCUCUCUCACUUGACAUCCCCUCUUGCAUCAUCAUCCUUAGCUUUUAAAGUCAACUCUGCAAAUUAUAGAACUGAAGGAUUACUCUCUUGUUUGCAGAGUUACCACAGAUUGGGCCAAUAAGACCAGAAGAUGUAGAGAUAGCUUUGAAGAACACUAGGCCAUCGGCUCAUCUCCAUGCCCACCGAUAUGAGAAGUUUAAUGCUGAUUAUGGUAGCGAAAUACUCCAAUAAAGGUACCCAAUCAGGAAUGAUCUUCUAAUGGUUAAAUAAAACCUUUCAUAAGUUGGGAAAAGGACAUCAUUCUUCUAUCUUUAGUAGGCUGGAAGUAAUGCGUUCAAUGAUUCUUUUCUUCUUUGUCUUUAAUACUGUGUGUCACAAUAUCAUUAUUUUUAGUGGUUAUUUCAUAUCACAACAUGGGCAUCUUUAUCUUGAGGCUGUUGCGAUCGAUGCGUUAUUACUUUAACCGCUUCCACACCGCCGGUGCCAUGCCAUAUUUUCCAGGGAUUAUCACAGAGGGUAAAGGCUGAAUAAGCUCUAGGAUCACCGUUUUACACCCUCUUGUAUUGUUGUUUAUGGUAAACUGGUAAAUUACAAAUUUUGAAAUAUUGGUGCGAUAUUGAUUUGAACUGCAUGAAAUGAUUUUUUUUUUAAAUUUUUUAAUUAAAAAGCAUAUCACGUUUGUAUUAUUUUUCCGUUGACAGAAUAAGCCCUAAAAAUAGUAUGUGCAGCUACUGCUAUUGCUUAAUCCCAGAAAAAAAAAAAAAAAUUUGUUCAUGCUUUAGUUUAAGACUUAAUAUUUCACUUAAAGAAAGAAAAUAAAUUUAUGAAUAUUAAAAUGUUAAAUUUUCUAAUUGAGACUUAAUAAAAUGUUACAUUUUAUCUUUAUUUUAUUUAAUGAAUAAGAAUUAAAAUCAUUACGAUUCGACAACUUCAAUUGACCUACCCAUUUAAUAAAUAUAGCAAAAACAAAAAACUACUUUAAAAUCAAGAUAUUCAGAAAAUUAAAAUUGAGGACGGGUAAUUGCGGAAGCUCAUGCAUAAGUCGUAUUCAUAAAAACAGAAAAUACGUAAUUUCAACUAAAUUGUGUUAAUUAAAUAACUGAAAUCCAAUAACAACCCCAGCACAAGCUGCUUACAGCAUGAUCAGGAAAUGACAUCCCCAAAUGGCAGAUACUUGUGACCGCAAGUUCGCAACACAAAAUGCAUGAAAAUGACAGUAACGGUAACUUCAGACAAAGGGAAGACCAUACACAGAACAUCACCAUCUUUGGGGAGUAUCUGACUACAUCUUUAGUUUAUUUAGGGAUAUCCCUUCAGAGGAUCAGCUGUUUUACCAGAUCUAGCAUCUGUCCAAGCUUUUGCAAUUGUUCGCUUCAUUUCGUCGUCACCUUCCUCGUACAUAUUCUGCAAAUUUGCAACAAAAAGAAAAAAAUGUAAGCAUUUAGACAUAAUCACAGCCAUAGAAAACACAUUCUGUUUGUGCAAGUGCCUUCACGUGAGGGUGCAGCAUGAACAGAAGGCAGCUCACCUUCAUCAAAUCCAUAAUUCCAGCCAUAGGAUCUCGUUCUUUAUCCAGAUUUGGCUUCAGCUGGAAAACAGUUGGAGAAACAGAUACAAGUUAGACUGUGUUAUCUUAUGAAAGUAUGGCACCAAAUAUCAAAUAUUCCCAUUGUAUGUGAUUACCUUAUCCUCUUUGUACUGUAAGUCUAACCAAUUUCCCUUUGAAGCUUUAAAGAGCAUGAUGACAACCCUUGUGGGUUUAACCAGCACCUUGCUUUUCUCAGGAACAAUCUCCUGGUUCAACCUUGGGAUAGUAAACCGGUAAUUCUUCCCUUGGACAUCAUGGAAUUUGACAUCAAAGGACCACUGCUUGAACUCUGCUUCCAUUUUAUCCUGGACUACUCCCUCUAAAGAAAUAUAUAUCUGCAAAUGGAGAUUAUGUAGUUUCAGGACAUGCAAAUCAUCACAAAAGUAAUGUACUCCAUGCUAAUCAAGUAGCUUUCUCUGAGAUUACAACCUGGAAUCAAAUUACAAUCAUACCUUGACUUUUUCAUUAUCCUGAUCCCAGCUGAAUGAUCCAAGCGUAAUAUAGUUGAGUGCUGGAGUAGAAGAGACCUUAGCUGGUGUUGGAACCGGAGCUGGACCUUCCACUUUUGACAACUGCAGAAUUGAAGUCAAAGAAUAUUUUAUUAAAGGCAAUACAGAAGCAACCAAAGGUACAUUUAGAAAAUCAAUCAGCCUAGGUUUUGACAGCAUGACACGUUUACACACAAAAUAUAAAAGUCAACAAGUCAACAGUCUACCAUACUACUGGGAAAGUUAUUCUCAAUCAUGAAACCAACUGCUUCAACACGAUUCAAAAUUUUCAUUUAUCAGCACCGCCAGUCUUUUAAAAUCCGGAUCACAAGUGUCAUCAGACUGGGGUAGCACCAGAGCUUCAUUUUGCCACAGCCUCAGCCUCAGCCUUUUCCUUUAAUCAGUAAAUCAUUAAACGAACAAUGGUGGUAUGGUAUCCAAAAGCUACAAGUAAGGAUUUCCAUCAUAUUAAUUCAUAAAUCCUAAAACAUGAUGCGUACCAAACACAAAAUGAUAACAAACAAUGUUAAAUGAUUCAUUUAAUAUUCUGCUACAAUUAAUCAUAAAUCAUUUUAAUAGAAUUUCCUUAUUCUUUCUAUUCAAUGAAACAUGCCAAACAGGGCGACAAGUGAAAACAUCACACACACACACAUCUCGUUAGGAAAUUCAUACUCCAAAAGCAGAAAUGAAAAACAGUAUCCAUUUACAUUUUUUUUUGGGGGGGGGGGGGGGGGGAAGAGAGAGCAAGAAAGAAAGAAAGAAAGAAAAGAAAAGCAAAAAAAAUCAAAAAUGGAAAACCAACCUUCUCCAAGGUAUGAAUCUCAGAGUUAAUAAGAGAGACGAUACGAGGUCGUUUUGCGAUGCUCCGUAGUUGUCUUAGCUCUUCCAAAUCCAGCACCAAAUCCUCCGCCAUUUCUGCCUUCUGAGUGACGAGAGCGUAGUAGAUGAAGACCGAAGGACAACAAUUACAAGCGGCUUUAAUUCUUAAAUAAGUACACUCGUUGCUUUUUGUACGUGGAAUAUGCUUGAAGCCUAUAGAGCUCGGCUCGUCUGAUAGGGAAAUUUGGAGGGGCAAAGCUAAGGCAAAAUGAUGACCAUCUGUGCUUCAAACAACUUUUAAUUAUUAUUUUCUUUUAGGGUUUUCGUUUUGAGAGAACGUUCUAGACUUCCAGAAAAUUGAACACGUGGAAAAUUUUUGUAUUCCAUGAACAGGGAUAAGAUAAAAAGCCUCUAAAUAAAAAAAUAAAAACGUUUUAUUUACAUUUAUUAUUAAUUUCUUUUAAAAAAUAAUAAUAAUAAAAUCUUUCCUAACUUUUCAGGUAAAACACUUCUUAUCACUUAUCAUUAGAAGAACGAAGCAUUUCCAUUGAGAUUUGAAAAUCCGUCAAAUUCCAAAGUUCAAAAUUUCCAUCAUAAAAAGUAAAAAAACACAAAGCAAAACUAAUCGCAGUAGAAGCAAUACAAUCCCACAACAGUACAUGGGUCUCCGUACCGUACAAUUAGGCUUUAAUUAUGACACAUGGGUUGAGAUUGCUGAUCGAUUCCUUAGCUUUGGCCUUUGAGUGAACUGGGACAGUCUUGAUUUUGUGCGUUUAAUAAAUUCUGGAGCUGCAUUUGCAACUGUGCUCUUAGCUGGUACUUAGAAGCCAAGUUUCUGUGCACGUUGUCUUUGGUAGCCAGAAGUUGAGACUUUCUCAUCUCAGCUGCAACUAUUUCAGGAUUGCUCAAAUGUCCAUUGUUGCCUUGAAGUUUCUUGAAGGUAGAAUUAAGCUAAACAAAAAAAGAUUAAAUUGAUUUAUAUCAAAUGCAUCAUUAUUCCAUCCCAUUCCCAGCUAAUCAAAUAAUUAAUUCAGCAGCUAGUCAUCUGAUAGAAUUAGAAUAAUCCCCUCAAAGUUCAGUUGCAUGAUUUUACAAGUCCAGGACUAGGAGGAGAUACAGAGAUUGGGUUGGAGCUCUAAUUUAUUAAUUAUUAUAACAAUUGAGAAUCAAACUGCAGCUCAAGUAGUAUUAGUCCCUUUUCAUAUACAUAGUAUGAUGAUAUAUUGAUGAAAGUGAAAGAAAUAAUGCAUUCACAUACAUAUAUUAUUAUUAUUAUUAUUAUUAUUAUUAUUAUAUAUAUAUAUGUGUGUGUGUGUGUGUAGAGAAGUAAAUAAAUGAAUAUAUACAUUACAGAGGUGUAUACAUAGUGAUUACAGCAUAAUCUUUUUACCUUAGAGAAUUGGUCUCUCAACUCUUCAAUUCGCAACUGACAUUCCUCGACAAAAUUCUCCACAUUUUCACGAAACUCCUUCAUUUCAUUACCUUUUAACACGUAAUACCUCUCCUUCUCUUUCUCCGUUUCCUCCACCUCCUCUAUCUCACUCUUCAAUUUCCUAAAAUUUCCAUCCCAAAUUCAAUUACACUAAAUAUUUUAUUUCAACAAUCCCCCUCAACCUUUGAAAUAUAUAUAUAUAUAUAUAUAUAUAUAUAUAAUUCGCAAAAAACUGUACCUCAGUUUUUGCGAAUGUGCUUGAUACUUGGAAUCGAGGAUCUCGAUCUCGGAUUUGAGAGUGGCAAUUUUGAAAUUCUGAGACGCAAUUUUUUGAUCGAGUAACAAACACCUUCGUUCCGUCAACCUUACACUCUCGAGCUUCGAUUCUAAAAUUUGAGACUUUUUCCCUUGCACUUCUUUCUCUGCCUGUGCGAACACACAAUAAUACUGUACCGUGUUAGUUUCUUUUCUAUUUUUCUUAAAAUAUAUUUUCUCAGUAACCGAACAGAAAUGUAAUGAAGCCCAGGGUUAGGGCUUGUGGUGAAGAUGACCUGGAGGAUUGAGAGGCGUUGGUUUCUCGUUUGUUCCAUUUGCUCUAGCCUUUCUCGAAAGGCAGAAGAGAGCGCCAUUGCCGUGCUGCCUCGAAUCGGUGAGCUGCGCUCUUCCGUGCCGUGUGAAUUCGGUUUGAAUCUUGCGGUUUAUAUACAACUGAGAUUGAACCCGGCCCAAUACUAACUCUCUCCAUCAGGGGGCCCAUGGGCUUCAUGCAUUUGUAACUUUAUUCAGACCCCACUUUUGCUCUUAUCAAGCCCGGCUACAUACUUGCCUACAUACUUGUACUAGGGUGGAGGUACUUACACCCACUAAACUAUUCAAUAAAGAGUGAUGAUACAGUCACAAAUUCUUGUAUAAACUGACGUGGCAUUAAUUUAUUGGUUGAAUGAAAAUAUAAAAUAAUAAAAACAAAUCAUGUGGGCCAAGUGAUAUUUAAUUCAAUCAAUCAUAUCAUACCACAUCAGUUUGUACAAAAUAAGUUUGUACAAGAGUUUGUGGCUAUAUCAUUACUCUUUAAUAAAACCAUCUUUGGAAAUAAAUUUUAACUACUAAAAUAUCCUAAAUCAAAUUAUAAUUAUGGACACUAAAGUAUAGAAAAAAAAAAAGAAAUUUUACUAAUUAAAUUUAUAAAAUUGCAUAAUUGCUUUCUUCUAUAGAUAAAAAAUCUCAAUGAGAAAAAACAUUAAUUUCAUACAAAUUAGUAAUGGUGAAUUCUAUAGGUAAGUAUAACAAUUGUUUGUUUAAGAAACAGAAAGGUUGCUAGAAAAUAUAUAUAUAGACAACAUGCCUCCUUUGCAGUCCAUGUCAAUGCCAAGUCUGUCUCACUAAAUUUUAAAUAUGUUUCGAAAGCCAUAACUUGAGUUACAUAUGUCCGUUUUAGGCGUAUAAUAUAUCAUUUCGAAACUUACGACGAAACAAAUCAAAUCCAAAAUCAUAUACUUCAUAAAAUCCUUGGGUUUAUGUGCGACAGGCAGUGGGACAGAUGCAUGUCUCACAUAAAUGCAGUGCGUUUAUGUGAGACAUGCACAUGUCCCGCUUGCUUGUCUGACUAGGGAUGGCAAUGGGCACCGCCCGCAGCGGGUUUGCAUCACCAAACCCAAACCCGCACAAAAUUUAAAUUACCAAACCCACCCGCAACCCGCAGCGGGUUUUAAUUUUUUUUUAAAAACCCACCCGCAGCGGGUUUUAACAAUUACCAAACCCGCAAUGGUACGCGGCUUUUUUGCGGGAUUCCGUAUUUAAAAUCACAAAUGUUUAAUAUAUAAAUUUAUAAUAAUAACCUCAAAUUCCAUAUAACAUACUCAAUUUUGUAUUUAAACAAUGUAAAUGAAAAAUUAAAAUUUCAAUAUCAAUCCAACACAAAUUCUCAAAUUUAAGUAUAAAUUACACAAAUCCAUUUAAAAAACACAAACUAGUAUCUAAAAAUAAUAAUUACAUUUCAUAUUAUCAUUUAAAACAAGCUCCGAGAGAAGAUAUCCAUUUCAUUCACCACCAUAAGCACCCAUCCAACACAAUGCCUAUAAUAAUAAUUAAGAUUAAUAUUUUUAAAUACUAAUUCGAAGGGAAAUGACUUUAGUUUUCUUUAGUUUAUGACUUUAGAAUGGGAGAUGGGCCACAUACACACAUACACAACUUUGAACCUUUGGCUAUUUGGUAAUUUGAAUAAUGACAUUAUUUUUUUUAUACAUUUUUAGAUUAAAAUUAAAUUAAAAAUAUUUGAAAAAAAUAUUGUGGGUUUGGUGGAUAUCCAUGCGGGUAUCCACUGGAUAUAAGGCUAAUAUCAAACCCACCCGCAUCCAUGUGCGGGUUUUAAUUUAUAAUACUAAAGCAGUCCGCAACGGAUAAAAUUACCCGCAGCGGGCGGGUUUUGGCGGGUGGGUUUGGGCGGGUUUGCGGGUUUGCGGGUAUAAUUGUCAUCCCUCACUUGUUCUGAACUUCAUUUUUUGCCCGAUUUUUAUGUGUUUUCAAUGAUUUUUCUUCAUUUCUCAACUCAAACUAAGUACUUUAAUAAAUCACAUUAUUUUAUGAAUGAAAAAUAACAACAUUUGCAACAAAACCCACUUUAAUUUCGAACUUAGUUGAUAAAAUCAAUAGAUUAAAGGUUUACAUUGUGUAAGAGUAUAAACUAAUUUUAAGAAGCUCUCCCAUUGAUGAUUAUAUCUUCAAUUAUGCAAUUGAUUUAUCGAGAGUGAUGAAGUUUGUUGAGAGUAAUGAAGUUUGUUGAGAGUAAUGAAGGUUUGUUAAGUUAUUGAGGAAGAUCCGUAUUUAGUUGUACUUGAAUUGAAAAAGUGGCAUGCCUUUGUAAAUUUGAUGAAAGUGAUGAGGGUAAUUUAGUCUAAAAAUAUGGUGUUUGACUAAUUAUGAUAGAAAAAACUUUAAGAGAUUAAAAUUGAAAAACGUAAAAAUUUUAUAGCCAUUUUUAUAAAUUUCCCAAAGAAUAAUGAUGGCGUGUGAGAAAGCUUUACAAUUUUUUUUUUUAAUGUUUCUAUUCUCAAAGCUUCUAGGAUUCACAACAUUAUAGGCUAGUGAAUUGUCAUGGUUGUUAGCCUAUAAAUGCGGGCCCCUUUUUUUUUUUAUGUUUCCUUAUCGUUUAAGAUCUUCUUGGUUCGCUUAAUUGCAACUGAUCAGCACGCCAGAUCCCAAAAUAGCUUUUAAAAUAUCAGUACUCUGAAUCCUUCUCAUGACGAUGCUUUCAACUUUUAAUUACCUGUUGCAAAAUUAACUUACAAGAGAAGGGAUUAUAAAAAAUCAAGACUGGAUCGCAUAAUUUGAGAUUGUAAUUGUAGCUGGGUGCCAUAAUUAAGCCACACAUUUCAAAGUGUAGUCAUAAUCUUCUGAAAUCGAGCCUCCGUACCAAGGAUUCUCAAACUAUAUAUAUAUAUAUAAUUAUAUAUUGUCACGAUGACUAAUCGCUGUCACUUUUUAUUUUUUAAAGAAUUCUGUUGUAGCAACCUAUGAUUAGUCCAAUGAUAUAUUUUCAAGAUUGAGGAUAAUGCACGGAAAGAUCGCAAAAGAUUAUUAAUCCUUUCACAUCAGUGACCUGUGAACCAAGAAAAAAAUAAAAGAAGCGUUUGUGAUAUAUUUGUUAAUUUAAAUUUCUUUCUUUCCUUCUGGGAAUUUGCUUGCUCCUGCCUGAGUUGUAAUCCUAAUUCUUAUGUCAACACCCAAGGCCAAAAGUUUGACGGAUACAAACAUAUAUGUAUAAAUAAUAAUAUCUGUUUUGUUUCACAUGUAAGUGUAUUAAUCUCAAAGAGAUUUGGAAUUGGAAAAAUAUAUUCCCCAUAAUUGUAGUGCUGUCGAUCUUGAACGUUGAAUGUCAUAGUGAUGAUACGACACUUUGAUUAUUCAAUCUAGUCACAUUUAUUAUUAGUCAUAAAAGAAAAAUGUGGAUUCGUCAAAAAAAGUUGAUUCGAUUAGUUCCAUGAGAGAUGAAUGUAUUGCUGCCAAAACAUAUCUAAAGAAAAAGGGUUUCUAAUUUCUUCGAUUAGCAGCAUACACAUGCUGAAUUACGUGUCGAUGGGACCUCUCUAUGAUGAAUCCCACUAAAACAUGUCAUCAAUUAACCCAAAAAGGAAAAAGAGAGAGAGAGAGGGACGGGGACAAAACGCCGAGUACAAGAACCUCCAUUAAUUUCAGACAAAAGUUUCUAUGUAGAAUGUUCUCAGUCUUAGCUUGUUCUUUCACUAAAAUCAUAUCGUAUAUGCAUUAUUUUCUUUUGAUUAAUCUUGAACACGCUAACGCUAUUCGGAAAUGAGCAGAUUAAUUAAAGACUUUGUUUUGAGUAGAAGUUCAAAGAUCUCAAUUUACACAAUGAUCCCCUAAUUCUUAGUGGGGUAUCAAAAACUUUUUUUUUUUAAUUUAUUGGGUAAAUUUGUGACCACAAAUUAAAAAAAAAAAAAAAACUGAUGGUGCGAUCCUUGAAAUAUCGAAAUGUUGGGCUGCAUGUGCUCCACGUUGGCUGAUCCGAAAUCGGUAGAUCAUUUAUUAAUUAUCACCAUCAGGUUUUUGUAAGGCUGAGCGUAAAUUGUCUCUCCCCAUUUCUGGAAAAUAGAGAGAGAAAGAAAAGAGAAAACAAAUCAAAAGCUCCUUUGCCAUAAAGGAGAAGAACUGGCAAUCAAUGACCAAAUGCAAAUGCUGACGGUUUAUUUUGCCAGGGAAUAAAGCUACCUUAGGCCGCCCAAAUUUCGUGCUUAGGAUAGAAAAAGAACCAAACAAAGCCUUACCUUUUGCACUUUAAUUACAUUAUCAUCAUUAUCUCCAAUUAGUUAUAUAUUUAUUUAUUUUUAUUUUUAUUUUUAUUAUUAUUAUGAAGAGAGAAAAAGGAAAGGUGAGAAAUAAACGUUCUAUAUUAUAACAACAGUUAUGGAUUCCACGUCCAAAAGUAGAGGACUUUCUUUGCAACCAAUAAGAAAUUAAGAAUAUGGUAGCCUUGCACUACUCUAUACUCUUCAAGAAAUAUAACUGUUUACAUUGCAUACUUAUAUAUCCUAAAACGAUAGAGUAAUAAUUGAAAAAACAAUGCUUUAACAAAUUACAAUAUCGAUCUAGCAUAAUAAUUACGGAUGGAAGUGCUUCUCCAAGAAAAAAUUAAGCUAAUUUUUUUCCAUUCCAAUGCCGGGAUUUGAGAAGAGUGGAGAUGAAUUUGUGACAAAUUGGUCAUGAUGGUUAGGGCAAUAUGCUUGGAGAAGGCUCAUGAGUACGAAACAAUCACCACCAACUUGGAGAUCCAGAGUGCUUUGGUAGUUGUUAAUUUCUUGUACAAAUUGGCAAAAUGGGUAUACCUUUGGUCUUUUUAAUUGGUGUUUAUUUGUCAAGUGCGUUCCAAAAUACCCAAAAGUAAAACCCCAAAUUGCCUUGCCAAAAAAGUAUUAUUUACAUGCACUCCAUUUGCUUAUAUGCUCUUCACAUAAAAGCUCGAAAGGUCAGCAAAAACACUAACAUCCAGUUCACCAAGCUUUGAUUUUCCUUGUUUGCUGCCUGUUUCACGAUAAACGUAAUCCCAUUUAAAGAGAAAAAUAAUUAGACUAAUUAUCAUUAACGAAGACAUUUAUAAAACCCUGAGCUCAAAUUUCACUAAACAUAGAGUAAUGGUACACAUUCCAAAUUUUUAUUCAAAUUUAAUUCCAAAUAAUGUGUUAUUAAUUGAGUGUUUGGAAAUUCUUUACAAGAUCCAAGAAAAUUAAUUAUAUCAUAUCACUAAUCAUUUGAUGAACGCCACAUCAUUUGAGAUAAUUUUUUAAGUUGAAAAAUUUAGAAUAUGUAACACUGCUCUACAUAUACAAUAGUUAAUUAUUGACUUAUGACAUACAUUCACAUCAAUUAAAUAUCUGCUGUCUCCAAUAACUUUAUACACUUUUGGUUUAAGAGCUAAAGAAAUUGAUGAUGUAACGGGAGAGAAAAGCGAAAAAAGACACAGAAUUGACCUAAGGUUUUACCUUAGUGGCAGAUGAAGCUAGAGAAAUUGAAGCUGAUGAUGGUGUUGAUGAUGAUGAAGGGGUUGAAAGGGCAGAGAGCCCCACAUUGUAAGCCAUAGUGCCAUCAGGUUGAAAGAGACCGUAAUUUCUUUCAGAAGUUGGCCCAGGCUUCAUAUCCUCAUUGAAUAAUGCAAACAAGUAAACUUCUAGCCUCAUAUUUGGCCUCAAUGGUGUCCCUUCAUUUGCCAUUUGCCUUCUCAACAAAUUCUUAUUGUAUGUUGCCGCAUUCACAACGGUGGCGCCGACCUCGUUGGGGUCGCCUUUCGAUGGCCACCCGGUCUCGGAAACCCUAACUUCAAUACCAUUGUACCCCAACCUAGCCAUGGCGAAAAUAGCAGCAUCCACUUGUGCGUAUAGCAUGUUGUCGUAGUGAAGUUUUGUGUAUGGAUCAACCAUGCCUGAGUUAGGAUUAAAAAGUGCAUAAUCUAAGGAAAUCCUAUUUGGAGCAUCUUUGUAUGCAAAAUAUGUAUAUGCAUUAAUCCAAAAUGGUGCCUUGGUACUUGACAAGAACUGUAAAUACUGUGACAUGAUUCCGGCAACUUCGGUUUUGAAACUACCGGCUGAAGGAGGAUAUGAUUCUUCUAAAACCGCUAAGGAAUUAGGUGUAGAAACUUGAAUGUACUUAUCAAGGCCUAAUUGAACUAAAGCACCAUGAAUGCUGACAGUGGCUGGGACAAGGUUCUGUAUCAGUGACGUGUCAUCGUCGGUGAAGACCUCGUUUCCGACUGCGAUGCCGGUGAUCUUUGUGGCCGGAAAGUAUGGCUUGAUGUGGGUGCUUACCCAUUGAAGUGCUUGUUGAGGAUCCACUAAAACAGCCAGCAUUUGGUUUUCAACAGUGACUAUAAGCUCAAUGUUGGAGUUUGCGAAUGCUGUUAAGACUUGAGGAUUUGUGUCAUAAAUUCUUGAUUUUGUGAUCUUAAGAGAGCUUAAGAGAUCAACAACCUUGUCGGGCGGCGGCAAAUUGUUAGCUACUUGUCCAUAGUUAACUCCAAGACAGGUGACUCCAAAAUCUGCAAAUUAAUUAUUAAACGACGUACAGAGAAAUCAAGAAUAAUUCAAUGGAUUAAUAUGAAAAUUAAGACAAGUUUAAGCUAUAGAAAUAAAAGCGAAAGGAAAUUACCUGAGAAAGUGAGAGAAAGUAAAAGAAAAAAUGGGAUCAAGGCAAUAUUCCUGCAAAAAGUUGCCAUUGAUUGAUUGAGAGAAGGGCCCUGCAAAUUUGAAGAUGAGAAAGGGAGAGAGGUUAGUUAUAGAGAAGUAUUGGGAGAUCCCAAAAUAAGAGGAGGACUAUGAAUUCUUUUCUUUGCUUGUUUGAAAUUUUGUUUUGUUUUGUUUUGUUUUGUGGGGGUGUGUUGGAUAGCUAGCUUGCCUUGUAAGUUGUAACCAAUGUUGCCUUUUGCUCUUACCUCUUAACCUGUCUUUAAAUGACUUGGUUUUCUCAACUUCUUCAACUCGUCAACUGGCUUUUUUAUCAAGACUACAACUUGUCUCUUUUCCAUUCCUAUUUGACAGAAUUGCCCUCAGCCACUUUCUUCAGACAAAAGCAAUGGAAUAUCCCACUAAUCAAUUAGUUAGUAAUUAGGAGGAAGCAAUUGGGGGAUCCCUACAUUUGGGGUGCGGUAAAAAUGUUAGUGCAUGAUAAUGAUAAGAGAUUCCACUUUUAUCUUAGCUAUUUUAUAUCAAUAUAUUCUCUACUACGUUUUUAGGGCAGCGGCUGGACUGUUUUGUAUUUGUGUAAAUUUUCCUAAAUAUACUUAAUUAGAAGAUGAUACCAAGCUUAAUUAAGCCUCUAGUUUCAUUCAAUAUACUAAUAAUUCGGCGCAUAAUUGAUUAGUGAAUUAAAAAAAAAAAUCCACAGGAAAACGACUUACUUAAAAACGGAAUGAAAGAGUCAUUUAAUUUGGUCAGAAGUAGAAUGAACAAAAUCGUAAAAAUGCUUUAAUUAAUGAGGAGAUGUACAAAUUAACAAGGUGUGUGACAUGGGUACGUAAUUGAGGUAAAAAUUCAAAGACAAAAAAUCUUACGUAAUUUGGCCAAAAUUGAAUUAAAGAAAGGAAACCCCAAUGAAAAGUAAAUGUUUGGUAAGCGGAUAAGGAAUGGAAUACGUGGGAAUUGUUUGGAGACGUAGGUGUCCUUAUCUUCCGGCAAGGAGGCUGCUUAUGUUUCUUUGCUUGGUGACGAUGCCAAUUGCUCUUUUCAUUCGCUAACACAUCGGACAGUCAACAAUAGUUUGUACUAACACAUAUGAAAGAGAUCAGAACUAGGCCGGCCAUCAAAAAAAGUCGAAAGAGAUUUGAAAGUUCGUGUUUUGAAUGUUCCAUCAUUUUCGGCACAUGAUAUUUAUUUUGAUGGCCGUAUUGCAGCUUAACUUUAUUAUCUUGCCUUCCAUAACAUUCUAUGCUGUUCGCUGGUUGGAUGAGGCUAUAAUCUUGCUUCUGAGUUGCUAUCUAGGACGUUGAAUGGUACAAUCGCAUCCUAAAACUGCACCGCAUUGAUUCAACUGGUGAAAAGUUUAACAUGGGAAAGGCAAGCAAAUUGAAAUUACUGAAACUGGAGAAAUAGGCACUCGUUCUGCGUUAAGGCAAUACUAGUCUACAAGAUUAAUGAGAGGCCUCUCAUUUAGUUUAACUAUGGAUCGAAAAUCCUGACCAUAUUACUAAAUAUCUCAAUCAUGCAUGUUGAUUUUUCAAUAAUAAAGUUUUUGUCUGCUAGUAUGCUAAGUAAGUUAACAUAUAUUAAGCUACCUUUUUUUUUCUUUUUGUUGGGGGGGGGGGGGGGGGGGGGGGGGGGGGGGGGGGGGGGGGGGGUGUUAUUACAGCAUAUAAUAUGUAAUUAUAUGUUUCUCAAUAUGACAUUAGAAACCCAUUCAAAUACACAUUAAUGUAAAUUGUUAAAUUACUGGCCAAUUAACUUUUAAAGGUUGCAAUCCAAAUGCAUUGUCGUACAAAAAAUUAAUCUUAACAAGAUAGACUUGGAUCUCAAAGGCAGACAAGUUGCAGUGAUGUUAGGCUUUGUAAACUGUUAACAGGCGUCACCAUAGCCAAGCAUGUGAUCGGGUGCUGGAAAAAGAGAUAAAAAGAAAGCCUAGCUGAUCACAUUGCAAAAAGGACCUUUAAUUGUUUAAAGCAUCCAUUCAUGUCAUCAAAAUCAAUUUAACAUUUCCUACCUCAUUUUCUCUGCUUUCUUAAUGAAGAAUGAAAAAGCAAACGAAGAGAGGGAGGAUAUCUUCAUAUAUUCCACAACCCAUGAACCAAAGAAAUGGAAGAGCACCAUAUAUGUCCCUUGUUAGCCGGUCAAUGCUAUAUAGCUUUUAUUUAUCCUUUUUUAUAUCCAAACAGAUUUGUUUGUGCAAGUGAGAGAUAUGAUAAAGAAGUAAAGACAUUAGCUUUCGUUAAAGAAGAAGUUGGUGCUAAAAGGAAGAAGCAUGAUGGAAGAAAAAGGAAUGGGAAAGUAAGUGAAGUGCAUGCAAAUGCAUUGCACGAAAGUUCUUCUGUUCUUGAUUAACAGUGUAUGCACAUGUAUGUGUUUUGCUCACUGACAUGCUUCUUUCCAGGAAUUUCUAUUCCUUAGAAUUAGAUUGGAUUCCAAAAAUGUAAGAAUCAUUUCCCAAUUUCCAAGAUUUUUAACCAUGUCGGGAAUCCAGAAUCUCCACCCCCCCCCCCCCCCCCCCCCCCCCCGGCCCGCAAUUUUCAUGGCUUUGUAUAAAAAGGGCGCAAGAGCUAAUUAUUAGCUGAUGAUUAUUUUGCAUAUUUGCAACAAAGGUAAUUAUCAAUUGAUAAGGCAAUUGAAAGAAACGAAAAGCAGAAAUGGUUAUUGGUUUAUGGUUAUGUAAAGGCAAAUAUUUCUUGACAAGUAAAGAGCUCUAUUAUGGUGGUCCUUUGGAAUUGGGGUAAUAGUGGACCUAGCUACAUCCAUUUGUCUAUUUUAUGCAGUAGUCAUGGUGUUGAAAUAAGAUUAUGUGGAAGUAUACAAAUACAAAAUACUAUAAAUUAGAUGUAUCUUGUAAAUUACAAAAAUGGGUGAACUGUAUGUUUAGUGUCUUUGAUAACAUUGUCAAUGUAGAUUUUUUCUGAUCUAAAUUUAUAUGUGAUUAAAUAAAUACGUAUAGUAUAGUAAGUAAUUGGUAGUCAAUAAAAUAAAAUUUAAUAGACAAAUAUAUAAAUUAUUAGAACUACAUAUGUUAGGGCGUGAGCCCUGAGGCAUGCCUCAUUUAAACCCAUUUUAUUAUAUUUCAUUGUUUGUGCCCUUUAAACUUCUAUUUCCAUGUUAUGAUUUCCAAUAAAUGAUAUUUGAGCUAUCAGAUUAUUUCACCGGCUCUACUUUUUAAUUUAGCUUAUUACUUUUCAUAAUUAUUUUUAUUAAAAAAAUUAUUAUUUUAUUUUAUUAUCUCUUCUCCACUCUCAAUGGCAUAACCAUCACCGGCACCCUCCAUCACCUAUCUUCAUCAAGUACAAGUUCACAAUUGCCACCAUCACCACCUAUCCUCUUCACUAUCAACCAUCACCUCGGCCAACACAUAAAUGAUGAAUUUCAAUACGGACUUGUUGUUAAAUUUUAUGAAUGAGUGGUAAGCUUUCUUAUUAUUGAUGAUAUUAGUUUUUACUUUGCGUGAUAAUCUAAGAUUCUAUUUAAUUUCAAUUUGAAAUUUGAUUAUAAAUUAAUAUUCGAUUCAAAUUAUAUAUCAAUUAAAAAAAUGAGAGAGAUGUCAUAGAUGAUCUAUGGAGAGCAUGACAGAGAAUAAAAAAAUAUUUAUUUUUUUAAUUAGUUUAAUUUAGGAAUAGAAAAAUAUUAAUUUAAAGUGGGGGUUAGUGAGAUAUAUGGGGAGCAUGACAGAGAAUAAAAAAAUAUUUAUUUUUUUAAUUAGUUUAAUUUAGGAAUAGAAAAAUAUUAAUUUAAAGUGGGGGUUAGUGAGAUAUAAUGAAAGGGUAGAUAUCACCACUCAUGAUUUCCUCAAAUCUAUGUUUCUGAUAAAUUUUAAAAGAUAGUGUGAGCAUAGUCUAAAUUGAUUUUUAGCUAUUUAUUUCUCUAAUAAUUCGAAGUUGGGUGCCUAGUUAAAUGAAUUUUGCUUGAAAGUCACUUAAUUAAACCUUUAGGACUAGAGCAUGUUGAAAUGAGUUUCGGUAGAGAGAAAUUGAAAAGAGCAUCAGACUGUCUCAGUAUAAUUACAUGAAAAUAUUAUUUUGACUAGAAAAAGAAAACUAAUUAAUGGAUUUGGUAGGUAAGUGCCCCUUCGAUUUUAAAAUUAGCAAAUCAGCCUCAUUAGAGGUUAUUUUAUUUAAAUAUACCUCAUUUGCCCCUAAAUAUCAAAUCUAUAUCCUAUUACAUAUAUAUGCCUCAUGAAGGUAGAAAAAAUAAAAAAAUAUCCUUAAAAAAAUAUUUAUCUACAUUUUCUUCCUCUCUUAGUUUUCUCCUCUCGGCUCUCACCAUUUAUUUCUCACGAUUUGCUUUUCUCACCAUUUUUUUCCUCUCUCAUUAUUUUAUCUCUUACCUCCAAUACAGAGUUUUUUUAUAAAUAUAAACUCUUCAAAAUGUGCAUUAUCAAGUGGUGGAUAAUGUAUGUUUGAAAUGUAAACAUUUUAUAUGCUCAGAGUUUGAUUUGAUUUCAUUACGAGUUUAUUCGUUGUUGAUUUAUGAGUUUAACUGUACAUUAUUUAUUGUUGUGCUUAUACAUCCACAAGAAAAUUUAUUGGGUAUUUUAGAGCAAAUGAGGUAUAUCACACGCAAUUCUCCCCCUCAUUAGUGUCUGUUUGUAGCUGUUCAAAUUAAAGUCCCAUCUCAAAAAGGCUCUCUUUAGUACUUUGCAAAUGGAUAGUGAUACUGAUGGGCCAAUUAACGGUUACGCUGAACUUGUCUCUCCGAAUCAAAGCAUUAGAGAUUUGACGAAGCACUAGCACUUGUGGCUCGCCCAUCAUGGCCCAACAGCGGCAGAGUUCAAUUUUUCAACUUUAUCCGCUGAUUUAUUUAUCAGAGCCAGCUGGUUGUGGUUGAAACCUUUAAAGACAUUUCGAGUUGUACGAAAAAGGAAAAACUUGUUUUCAAAAACAUGACGGAAAUUUCUACUUUUUGGUUAAUUCAUAGAAAAGCACUUUAUUUUCAAGGCCAAGUUUUGUACUUUGCAGAAUAUGUUGCAAUCCAACAUUUUUCUUUUCGGAUGCUUCAAAAUUUUGAAGUUAUUUCUUUAAACAAAAAAAAAAUUUCUAAGGAGUUCUUUCUUUAAAAAAAAAAGGAGUUAUUAUUUCUCAGUCAUAUAUCUUAUAAAAUGAAAAUUUAAAGCACUUAUACUUGACUUGAGAUUAUGCUAGCCUCUAAACGUUUAAGUGACUUGGCACAUAAAGAAUAAUUAUUAAGAAUCUCGAUAUUUAGGUUCUAAUUGAUGUGAUGUUUAUCUAUUAAAUGAUAAUAAUAAUUAACUAAUUUUAAAAUUUAUUAGAUAAUAAUUCUAAUAGAUGAAUGGCAUGUGUAGUUAAAGAUAAACGUUGAGAUCUCUAAUAUUACUAUUAUUUUUAUGUAAAUACACAAUGAAUUAGUUUAUAUAUAUAUCAAAACAAGUUUGAUGCCAAUUAAGAACUUAUUCACUUGUUAAAUUAAAAAAAUUACUCAAUACGCUUUUUAAAAUUCCAAAACAGUCCUUAAUUAUUUGCUUACUUCAACUCAGAAAAUUAAAUAUAUUUCAUGCCAAUUAAGAACUUAUUCUCUCUCUCUCUAUAUAUAUAUAUAUUAGUCACAAAAUUAUUAGUAUGAUUUCUUAAAGGUUCGAUUGUUUCAAGAAGUAUUGGAAUUGGAAGCCCAAGUAUCAAAAUUGCUAAUAUGGAUGAAUCGAAACCAAACUGCUCAUUCUGUUUUCUUUUUAAAAAAAAACUGGUACUGUUUUGAAAUUGAUAUAAUGUCACCGUCAAGAAGCAGAACAAUGAAAUUAGAAAGAUAAAAAUUAUGGUUUAAGUUAAUAUAAUUUAUACCGAAUGGGUGUAGUAAAAGGGUGUCAAGAGCAAUAUAUUUUAUUGACUCACACAAGAUUGUCCCAAAUAGUAAAUUAAAUUUUGGGCAUUUUUGUGGUAUAAAAUUUAUAAAAGGGUGGGACUAUUGAAGCCACCAAAUUACUUUCUACAUCUAUUUUAAAAAAUAAAUUUAUUAAUUAUAUGUCUAAUAAUAUUAAAAAUCUCAAUAUUUAAGCCGUAUCUAAUCACAUGUGUCACUCAUCUAUUGGAUGAUAAAUAAAUAAAUAUUUUUUAACUUAAUUUUAAUGGAUUAAGAGCAUUAACUGCUACUUAAUACAAUAUUAUGUUCCCAUUCUUUUCUCCCUCUCCUCUCAUGUGCCUUUCUCUAAUUCUUUAUGUUUUUAACGGAAAAUACUACUAUAAUAAAAAUUUAGAUCACAAAAUUUUGACAAAAUGUAUAAAAAGAAAUAAAAUAUCUUGAUAAAAUGUAAGUUGACUGCAUCUAGCCUUAUAUUUUAAUAUGUUUAUACCUUAAUGAAAAUUUUGUAAGCCAUUUUUUGUACAAGGAGCAUUAAUGGGUUUUCCCACUCUAUUGCUUUGUAUGAUUAUGAUCUUCUGGAGGAGCCAUAUUCUUUUUGCUUCAAUUGGAAAAAGUCAUGCGAUGUGCUAUGUGGAUAAAUCAAAACGGUUCACAACCUCAAACAGAUGAGGAUUUUUUGUUUUUUAAUACAUUAGAGCCUAGUAUAAAUUAGAACAUAACAUAAUGAAAAAUAAAGGUCCUAUACAUAUCAUUGCAUAACUAAUAACCAAUCCCUUCAAGAGGGGUUUCAAAAACAUGAAGAUGAAGAGGAGGGGUUUCAAAUAGGGAUUGAGAUCCUCUUCUGAUUUGAACACUCUUGAUUUUUUACAGAUCUUGUGCCACGUGUGUUUUAAUAUUAGUGAAUGAUUAAAAUUUAACUAUUUUUUUUCUUUUUCAUUUAUUAAUCAUCAAUUAUAUUAAUAACACUUGUUCAGAUAAAUAUCAUAUUAGGAGAUUAUCUUGAUCCUUCAAAUUGAGGGGAUUAUAUAUCGCAUUAGGAAAAGUCCAAACCUCUUGUGGAGACCCAAAAGGCUUGUAAAUAGUGCCCAAUAAGCAUCUAUUAUUCAUAGGCUCUUUAGUAGGGGUGAGCAAAUCGGGUUUCGGUUUGGGUUUCAACCCGUUCGGGUUGGAGAAUUGAACCCAAUCGGGUUGAAAACGCCAACCCGAACCAAACCGAACCGAAUUUAAUUCGGUUCGGUUCGGUUCGGUUUGGGUUGGCAAUUCGGAUCGGAUUAGGUUGAUAAUUCGGGUUAAAAUUUCGGUUCGGGUUAAUUCGGGUUAGUUCGGGUUAGAAUAAUUCGGGUUAGAAUGGGUUGAAAUAAUUUAAUCUAAAAAUUCUAACAACUACCACUUAAAAUCUAAAAAUUUCAAUUCCAAACAUCUUUAACAACAAAUAUCAACUACAAAUCAUCCUUAAUAACAUUUCAACAAUUUAAAAAUCUCAAUUCCAAACAUUCCAAACAUCCUUAAGGAACAAUUUAAUUCAAAAAUUAUAACAAUCACUUAAAAUCCAAAAAUCUCAAUUCCAAACAUCCUUAAUAACAAAUAUCAACUACAAAUUAUCUUUAAUAACAUUUCAAUAAUUUAAAACUCUCAAUUCCAAAUAUCACAAUUUAAUUAAUAAUAACUACAAUAACAGCAACAACAUUUGGAAAUAUAUAUAACUUUGUCGAACAACAGUUAAGUUAAACACAAACAAUAAUAAUAACACUAAUAAUAACUACGAAUCAACAAUUCAACAUAUUGCCAUUUUCUAAAUUAAAAAAAAGCAAAGAUUAAUCAAUUAAUUAACAAUCUCCAAUUUAAUUAAUAAUAAGAGCAACAAACCCACUCCAAUUUAAUUAAUAAUAGUCUCCACUCUCCAAUUGUUCAAUUAUCAGUAAACCCACUCCAAUUUAACUAAUAACAAUCUCCAUUUGUUCAAUUAUAAAUCAACAACAACAAACCCACUCCAAAUAAUUGAAUAAUUACCAAUCAAUUAAUUAAAAAUAUACAAUUUAAUUAAUAGCAACAGGCUGUUAAAAACUUAAAAUUCGAUUCGGGUUGUUGCCAUCAGCUGCGAGCAAGUCAGCAAGUUACAGCAUCGGCAAAGCGAGACAAACCUUGAUCUCGGAGCAACUACAGCAUCGGCAGAUCGAGACUGUGCUGGGCUGAGUGGGAUGCAAGGUGAACGCAUAGCGCAGUUGCGGGCGAGCGUGCUGGCUGACGGCGAGUGGGCUGUGGUGAACGGCUGGUGUCUGUUGGAGCUGGACGGGGCUGCCGGCUGCUGCUGUCGUCGUGGGCCACGAAACUCAGAAAGUGAGAAGAGGGAGCAAGGAGGGGGAGGGAGUGAGAUGGUGAGACUGAGAGUUUCUGUUGGAGCUGAAUGGGGUUGCCGACUGCUGCUGUCGUCGUCGGCCAUGAAACUCAGAAAGUGGGAACUGAGAAGAGGGAGCAAGGAAGGGGAGGGAGUGAGACGGUGAGAUUUUUGUUUAGGGAUUUUUUGGUUUAAUGUAUAUAUAUUUUUUAAUUCAAAAGCUGAAUCUUAAAAAAAAAAAAAAGCUUCAACCCGAACCGAAAUUUAACCCGAACAGGUUGAAGCUUUGAAUCCGUUCGGGUUUCACCGGUUAACCCAAAUCGAACCGAACGCCCACCCCUACUUUUUAGUAAGUAGUCUUUCGCUAACUUAUCACUCAUUCAAAGAUUCUCCCUAGAUUUUCCCUUGCUUUCUCCGGAUCCAAACUGACUUAAGCCUCAAAAUGUGGCUGUUCCACCGUCAGCUCUUCUCAAAUGUCAAUCUCAACUCUCAAGGCAACUAUCUCAAUCCAAGGGCAAGUCCGUAAUUCUCUAGCAUUUGACGGUAAGAAUAUACACUCAAAUCUUAGAAAUGAAUAAUUCAUAUUAAAUUAAGAGUAGUUAUACAAGUAUUAAAUAUUUUUGUACAAAUUGAUGUAGUGAAUUGAAAACAUCUCACGUCAUUGCUUUUUAUUAUUUAUAUUUUCAAGUAGCAAAUCAUGCUAUGCCAUAUCAAUUUAUAUAAAAUUGAACAAAAUUAAAAUUUACAUCAAUUUAUGUAUAUGUGUUUAUGGGCCUAGAAUUAUUCUUAAAUUGAAUAAAAUUAUAUUUGUUGGGAGAAUUUUUCUGUUUUAAUGAUUUUACCCGACUCGAAUAUGGAUUAAUCGGGGGUCCAAUGUGAUUUUUGGAUAUCAAAUAAUUCAAUACACUGAAAAAAAAAUUAAAAGAUUUUUUUUUUUUUUUGGUUAUAAUUCAAUCUUCAUUGGAAAAAAAAACCAUUGUAAGCACAGCAGCCAUCAGUUGCAGUGCUAAUAUAGUAAUCAAAAGAUGGGAUUACAGGUUAAUGAGAAUUAAUAUUCUAAUAACUCUAUUUGGGAUCUGACAAAUUAAAACCUCCUCGUGCUUAUCUCUCUUUGCGCGCAUGCAUACAAACAUUCACAAAUUUUUUCCACCAAGUAUUUUUUCCACAUUGUCGUGGAGUCUUGGGUAGCCACAUACUCCACACAAGCUCACAGUACUACGCCAUCAUCUCAUCUAAAUAAUUAAAAGCCUAAAUCAAAUAGACUUCCCAGCAAAAAUAUGUGAGCGCCGUUUUGAAUAUACAAUAUAUAGAUCCAGUUUUUAGAAACCAUUAACAUUCCAUCACAAGAACAUCAACACCAAUUAACCCAGCUGACAGAAGAGAGGAGAAAUAAAUAAUAAUAUAAAUUACACUUAACGACCCUUAAGGUCAACUGAGAAGAAACAUGAUUCAUAAUAGUUAAUAUAUAUGCCACUGCUAGCUAGCUAGCAGCUACAAUUCAAUAAUGCGAAUUAUAUUAUGCCCACAGCCACUGCAACUCCUCCGGCGGAGGGAACUCCAAGUCGAAGAUCAGCCUAUUAACCUCCAAGUCCUUAAACGACACGCCUUUUGAUAACAUGGAAACCGGUGACACAUUAUAAUUAUUAUUAUCAUCGUUGACGACUUCGCCUUCAAGCUUAUUAACCUCAACUGAUAUAACUUCUCUCCUUGAAUCUGCUGCUGAUGAUGAGUUGCUUUCUUUAAUCCAUGCAACGCUAGAAUCCUUGCCCGUAAGCUUCUGAACGACGGAUUUGAAGCUGACGGGGUCAGUCUCUACGUACUGAGUAUCCAUUAGUACUACCUUAACGGCUUCUUGCUUUUUGCUUGACAUCGUUGUAACUAGUAUAAAUUAAAGAAGGAGAGGAAAAGGAAAAAAAAGCGCUUUUUGGAGAAUCUUUUCCUGCGUUAAAUUGUAUGAUUAUUUUAUUAGAAUUGUGAGUUUUACUUAUAUACAGGAAGCUAAGAGGGAGAGUCGCAAGAAAUGGGGACACAAGGUGAAGGUGGGGUAUUGAUGAGGCGUUUUGGCAGUCAAUAAUGACUCACACUGGAUCGAGUCAAGGGCACGCAACUUGGAAUCUUCAUGGUCAAUCUUAUUGUUCCAAUUUCCAUCGCCACAUAUGACAGCUUUUUUUUUUUUUUUUUUUUUUUUUUUUGAUUAUACGAGACUAUUGCUCAAAUUACAACUCAUAUUACAUGAGAAUAUAACUGAUAUGUACAAAUCAGAUUAUAACUGGGACCAACAUACAUCAAAUCUAAUAGAGCGCUGCCCAGAUUUUAACCUUCUCAAAUAUUCGAGGGAUGUCUACUCCUCGUACUGGGGCAAGGAAGCAGACUGCCUUCACUCAAUUUUAACCCACAUAUGACAGCUUUAUUAGCUUACCUUACCUAAGUUUUACAGUUGAUCUUCGAGCUAUCUAGCUAACGGGAAUUAAACUUAUAAAUAAGUUUUAACACAUCUUGUCCUGUUAAUUCAGUUUUAUUCAUGCUAUCACUUUUAGCUUUCAUUUGUUUACAUUGGAUGGUUGUAACGAUCGAGAACAAACUUGACGAUUAUGUGAAGUAAAUUUGAAGAGAGGUUUGUAGAAUCUCGUCACUAGGAAUUCGGUGUUCUUCGAUUUAUUAUUAUUAUCAUUAUUAUUUUCUUAUUUUUAACUCUUCUCAGUCACUUUGAUUCUUAUCAUACGUUAUAACGUCUAAUCAAUUCCUAAUUAAUUAAUCACAUUCUCAUUAUUUAUAUAGUAUUUAAAAGAAUUAAAAAAAAAAACUGUGACGAGAUUUACUUUUUUUAUAUAAUUUAUAUCACCACUUUGAUUUUUAUUCUCUCUCUUUAUAUAUAUAAAAUACCCAUUAGAGUCUUCAAAAUUUACAUAAACAGUAAAAUCAGUUUUUGGUAUGACUCAAUAUUAUAGUUUGUUAAAUAAUUAGGCAGUCAUGAGAAAUUACGUUUAAGUCAACUAUAAAUAAUGAAACUUAGUAGGUGCCAAAUAAUAAAUAAUUAAAAUAUGACUAAGAAAGUCCGUAAGGAUGGAUCUGAAAUUGACGAAGACCGAAGAUACAUUAGAUGGAAAAGUUUAGAAGCAGUGGCGAGAUUUUCAUGGCCCCUCUCUUGUCAUAUUUUUGGACGAGAAUACCGCCACUUGUCCUAAACUUUUCCUUCAAAAUUAUCUUCCAUCCUCGUCAGUGUCAAAUCAAAUCCAUCCUUAUAUUAUCGCCAAGUAAAGGAAAGGGACCUGCUGAUGGCUGAUGCUAUGCCCUACGAGUGUGCAAUGACUGUGGAAGAGCAAAAGGAUCUCCGUUGGGCUUCGGGUGGAGUGUCAGUUGCUAUCCGGAUAACAAGUAUUGGGCUUCCUCGGCCCAAACUUUUAACUUCACGGGCAUCUCUGCUUAAUGUUGCUCGCCGCUCCACUUGCACUGGGUCUCAACCAAACAGAAGCCCAAGCCUGAUGCAUUUUUUCCCUUAUUAUUUUAUUAUUUUUUUCCCUUGAGUUGAUUUGAGCUUCUUCUAAUUCUCAGUUUUUAAUGCUACCAAUUAAAAUCUUUUUGUUUAAAUUAUUUUUUUAAAGGGUAGAAGUGUAGGUAAAUUUUUGUAUUCAAAUUUAAUACUAUUUUUUAGGAAUUUGUAUUCGAGAGGUCAAUUAGAUUUAUUCUAUAUUGAAGUAUCGUAUUAUCGUAGAAAAAGAUGCUGCAAUUAUAAAACAAAGGUUAACAAUGCAAGGUAAUUUUUUUAACAAAAAAAUUGAUAAAAAUAAUUAAGAUGUUAUAAUUUUUUUAUUAUUAAAAAAAUAAAAAAAUUAACUUAACCAAAUUGGGUGUGGCUAAAUAAUCGUCUUAAUUGAAAUUGAGGUUGGACAUGUAUAACUUAAAAGAUAUGUAACUUGGAAGUUAAGUUAAUUUGAAUUUAUACUUUUAUGAUAAAAAGUCUAUUAUAUUUUUAUUAAUUUUGUCAAAUUACUAUUUAAAAUUGUAUUUAGUAUAUAUUAUAAAUUUUUAUUUCAUAUUUAUAAUUUUUUCCAUAAUCGCUGUAACUUUAAAACUACCGUAUCUCAAUACCAAAUAGGAGUUAUAUUAUAUGUAAUUUAUAUCCAAUUUAAGAGUUGCAUCUAAUAACUCAAAACAUGCAUCUAAUCAAAUAUAAUACUUGAUUAGAUGUGUAAUUCUUGAAUCAAAUAUAAAUUAUAUAUAAUGUAAUUUAGUAUAACCUAACUUUUAAAUCAUAACUGUAAGUAUUUAUCAAAACACUUUAAAAUUAAGACUUAAAAAUUAUAUCUAUUCAAUUAACGUAUCAAAGCAACCCUAAAUAAAGUUGAUCGAAGACCGUAUUUAGGGUUGCUUUGAUAGUUUAAUUGAAUAGAUAUAAAAUCUGAAAAAUGGGCAAUUGAAUUUAUUCGUCACGAGAAAAAAGAAAAAGAAAAAAGAAAAAAAAGAAAGUUCUGUAUGCAUCUUCUUGCUACAUGGUACAUAAACAACUCUUAUUAAUUCUAGAGAGUAGGAAACGUAAAAAGAAAAUUAAAUUAAAUUAAACAAAUUUUUUUUUUUAAAAAAAGAAAACUAAAAAACAGCUUCUUUCUAUCCCUGUGUCCGUCUCGCGUACAGGAGGAGCCGGGGGAGGAGGAUAUCUAAAAAUCUAAAUAGAUAUCAAAUCUUCUUCAUUUUUUCACUUCUGCGUGCGUGUGCUUUUUUUUUCCCCCUUUUUUUUUUUUUUCAAUUUGCAGUGAGUGAAUUAAAAAUGCACUAAUAAACGACCUAUUUCAUGUCUCUCCCCAACAAACGCACAGCCAGCAACAACAACAGCAACAAUUAUUCACCUUCGGCAAUGAAGAAGGCCAAGUCCCAAGCCGUGGCCUGCUCUGUGGACACCGCCAACAAGAACGGUCUCCACCACGACAACGACGCCGUUUUCGAUCCCUCUUCUAUUUCUCUCGAUGACGAUCUUAAGCCCGACGAACCCCGACAACAAGCCGCCGCCAAUUUGUCCCGCAAAAAAGCCCAGCCCCCUCAGCCCGCCAAAAAACUUGUCAUCAAGCUCCUCAAAGGUACGCCCUUGCUUACUGCUUGUUUCUUUUAUUCGAUCAUUCGUCUUUUGUUUGUUUAGGUUUUGGUUGAGGAUAUCGAGGGUUUUGCUUCUGAGUAUUGGAGAGGCUUUAAAUUUGGAUUUUUGUUUGUUUUGAGCUGAUCUUUUCGCGUGGUUACUUGAAUUUAUUUGGUGGACCUUUGAAUUGGAUUGGUUAUGGGAUCUGAGUUCUCGUUUUUCAUUUGUUAAUUGAGGAACUUUAUCCAGUGGUUGAAAUUGAUUUGGGUAUUUCUCACUUUUGCUAUGUUUAUUUGUAACCAUUAGGAAAUUGCAAUUUCGGAUUGAUUGGCCGAGUCUGUUUGGUUUCAUUUUAUUUUAUUCCCUGAGGCACUUAUUAAACCAGGAGCUGACUAGGGUUUUAUUUUUAUCACUUGAGUAAGUAAAAAUGAGACCAAUCUAGGGUUUUCCCUGGUGAUAGUUUGAAUCAAUCUGAUCAGUUGUUAGAAGUGAUUUGGUAGCUAGGGUUUCGGUGUGCCGUUCUAAUUUAUCGUUAUUCAUUGCGAUGAUUUGGUACAAUUCAAUUUUCUAUUUAAUUUGGGUUGCAUAUGCAAAUGUUUAGUGCAACUGGAAAAACCUUGUUGAGGCAGAUGUUGCUAGUCUAGCAAUUUGAAACUUGAAGAAUUCUCAACUUAUGGUCUAAUUUUAGAAGAUAUGCUGACGUGAUAAAUAAUUCGGAAUUUUGUGUCUGUGAAGCUAAACCCACACUGCCUACAAAUUUUGAGGAGGAUACAUGGGCAAAGCUGAAGUUAGCUAUAAAAGCAAUAUUCUUGAAGCAACCAACUUCCUGUGAUUUGGAAAAGCUAUAUCAGGUAGAUAUAAAUAAUUUUUCAUUCUUUGUUUAAUAAUGUGGCUCUUAUUAAUGUGAAAUUUGUCGUGCAUGAGGGUUUCACAAAAGAAAAAUUAUGUCAUCCUUAGGCUGUCAAUGAUCUUUGCCUGCACAAGAUGGGGGGAAACCUUUAUCAGCGAAUUGAAAAGGAGUGUGAAGAACAUAUAUCUGCUGCAAUUCGAUCGUUGGUCGGUCAAAGCCCUGACUUGGUGGUUUUCUUAUCACUGGUUGAGAGAUGCUGGCAGGAUCUUUGUGAUCAGAUGUUGAUGAUUCGUGGUAUAGCUUUGUAUCUAGAUAGAACAUAUGUGAAACAAACACCAAAUGUGCGUUCAUUGUGGGACAUGGGAUUGCAGCUUUUCCGGAAAUAUCUUUCUUCAUAUUCAGAAGUUGAGCACAAAACUGUCACUGGUCUUUUAAGGAUGAUUGAGAGGGAAAGGUAAUGCUUAGAAAGUUAAAUAUAACCAAUACUGUGUAUCAUUAAAUCUUCUAGAUUAUCAAUAAUAAUGAAGUUAUUUUUCUCUUUUUAUAUCUAUGGGUUGAAUUUUUUUAUGUUCCUUUAGUUGAUCCUGGCACAAAUUUUAUGAUUGAAUUGUGGUUGUGGGUGGGGGUUAAUUUGAUAUGCUCUGGAAUUCACAGUGUUUUCUUUUUUUCCUUUGGGGUGGGGUGUGGUUGCACUGUCUUUUAGAUUAGGUGAAGCUGUUGAUAGGACACUCCUUAAUCAUCUAUUGAAGAUGUUCACCGCUCUGGGAAUUUACUCCGAAAGCUUUGAGAAACCAUUUCUUGAGUGCACGUCGGAGUUUUAUGCCGCCGAAGGCAUGAAAUACAUGCAGCAAUCAGAUGUUCCAGAUUACUUGAAGCACGUGGAGGUACUGUUUAUAUUCCUCUAUGCCCACCAUUAGCUGCCAUAUAUUUGUCUCUUUUUAUUGCAUGAUACAUAACUACAAAUUGCUUGUUUUACGUUGCUCUCUGUUACCUAAAAUGUUGAACUAGAUAGUUGGGAUUCCUGGAUUUGAAAAAUAUCUGGGAACAAAAUUUGUGUAGCCAACAAAAUUUGGGGGAAAAAAUUGGAAUCCAACUGCACUACAAUCCAGGAAUCCCAGAUCGGAUAAUUUUCCCUGGAUAGUUUUGUUUUACUUAUGAUCUCAUGAUGUAUGUUGAAAUAUUUAGGAUUUGCUGAUGGCUCCUUCUCUUUCACAGAUAAGGUUGCAUGAAGAACAUGAAAGAUGUUUACUAUACCUUGAUGUAAGCACAAGAAAGCCACUUAUAGCAACUGCCGAAAGGCAACUUCUUGAACGACAUAUAUCUGCGAUUCUCGACAAGGUGUGGAGUUAAUUCUUUUAGCUUAUUCUCUCUAUGCAUAUACUAGAAUUUGGAUUGCUUUUGUAGUUAUGGUUUCUUUCUGUUCAGGGGUUCACAAUGCUGAUGGAUGGCCAUCGUACUGAGGACCUACAGAGGAUGUACUCACUAUUUUCAAGGGUCAAUGCUCUCGAAUCAUUAAGGCAGGCCCUUGCUAUGUACAUUCGUAGAACUGGGCAUGGCAUUGUCAUGGAUGAAGAGAAAGAUAAAGAUAUGGUUUCGUCUCUUUUGGAGUUCAAGGCUUCUCUUGAUACAAUAUGGGAACAAAGCUUCUCAAAGAAUGAAGCAUUUUGCAACACAAUAAAGGACGCAUUUGAGUAUCUAAUUAAUCUUCGUCAGGUCAGCAUAUCCCACUUUCUUUUUCCUUCCACCAUUUCAACGUUACGAUUGGACAUUAAAAAAUAAACUAUUCCAUUUGUAUUUAUUUGUUAGUUAAAUGCCGGAUUUGAAUUGUAGGAUAACAAAAUUUCAUCAUGAAGAAAGUAUGAGAGUAGCAUUUAAAGAGGAUAGGUCAUAAUAGUGAUUGUUAUGGUUGCUUUUGUUAUUACAUAUAUGACUAAAUGUAACCAAAACUGGCUCCAGAUUUCAGAUCAUAUGACAAGAUGUUAAAAGCUUGCACCAGAUAUCAGUCAGGACCUUAUUUUGUAUCAGUCUGCCAUUACCACUAAUUUUUUUGAAGAUUAUAUAUAGAAAUUUGUGGCUAAUAGUUACAUGUUUCCCCUGUUUACAGAACCGACCUGCUGAGCUGAUUGCAAAGUUUCUGGAUGAGAAGCUUCGGGCUGGAAAUAAGGGUACUUCAGAAGAGGAAUUGGAGGGUACACUUGAUAAAGUUCUGGUUUUAUUCAGGUUUAUUCAGGUAACUAUACAUCCUUGACAGAAAUUUCAGUUUUUUUUUAAAUAUUUAUUCUCUAGUCUUCUAUGAUUUAUUAUUAUUAUUGUUGUUGUUGUUGUUUUGCAAAUUUAGGGUAAAGAUGUGUUUGAAGCAUUCUAUAAAAAGGAUCUUGCAAAAAGGUUACUGUUGGGGAAGAGUGCUUCCAUUGAUGCAGAGAAAUCUAUGAUUUCCAAGGUUAGUGGCAAGAAGUCUUAUUUUGACUUCACGUUGCUGCCAAAUGUUUAUGAUGUUGUCAUACUAACAAAUGUCUAGUUCUAAUGCAGCUAAAGACUGAAUGUGGCAGCCAAUUUACAAACAAACUUGAAGGGAUGUUCAAGGUGUGCAUGUUUUUCCAUAUAAAUUCUGUUUAGGGAAAUGCAUUGAUUUCUGAGGAAAUUAAAACUUUAGAACUAAAAUUGAGUGAUCACCUAGUUGAUUGCUUAUCUAUUAUCAAUAGGGAUAUUAUCAUUUUACCACCUAAUAUUUUCUGACAUAUCACUUUCCCACUAAAGUUUUUUGGCAAUUCCUUUUUCCCACUUAAUGUUUCAAUUUUUAUCAUUUUACCACCAAACCGUUAGUUAAUGUGAUUUUAAACAGAAAUUAUAGUAAAAGUCUAUUUUACUCCUAAACUGUGUAAGUGUAAUUUAACCCUUUAAAUUAAAAAAAAUAUAGAAUUAAUUAUAUACAAAGAAAUAAUACUUUUAUGUCUAAAAUAAUUAAUUGAUAAAAUUGUAAAUAUUACACCUGGUGAAAUUUAUAAAAUACUAAAUAUACAGAAAUUCCUGAAAUACCCUUGCGACAUCAGCAAUUUAUUUAUUAAUGGAGUUAAACUGUUUGAUGAUAAAUUGAAAAAAAACUGAAACAUAAAGUGGGAAAAAGCAAUUGUCAGAAAACUUUUGUGGUAAAGUAAUACGUCAGAAAACAUUAGGUGGUAAAAUGAUAAUAUUCCUUAUCAAUAAAAAAAAAACUGUAAUGAAAUGAGUAAAACAUUAGCUUUUCCUGGCAAAUUAUGAUGCAAAUUUGAUAUGCCCCUCGAACUUCUUUAACCAGUUUUUAUUUUGAAGCGUCUUUCAGUUUCUGCAUGUCUGGUUUUCUUGGAAGUGCUAGAUAUGCUUAUAUUCAUGUGAAGGUCAAAUUUUAGUAGCAUUGCUGUGCACUUGGAGUAGUGGCCUCAAUUUGCUGAGGGAAGCUUUAUUAAAAUAAAUUUUAAAAAAAUCCACGAGAAGGGGAGACAAAACAGCUGAACGCAUCAAAAUAAAAAUCGGAAAACAAAAAAAUAAGCAUAUAAUGUGAUACAAGAAGGUAAUGAAGACCAAUGUCUAAAAAAAUUUGUUAAUUAGACACACACACAUACUACAUGAACUUGAAUCCAAGACCUAGGUCUUGGUAAGGCCAUUCUUACCUCAUAAUUGUUGUCACGUGAAGUGUUAAUUAUCAAACCUUGUGGUCUCCAAUCUAUGAAUUUUAAAAAUUACACGAUCAAGUGUUUACUUGAUUUUCUUAGACAGGCUGUUGAAAUAUAGCUCAAUAGUUGGAGAGCAUCAUUAGAAACCAAUAAUAACCUCUUUAUUCUUGCCAGUUUAACACUUGAUCUGUUGAUGUAGCAUUUGUUUUGUGAAUUCAGUUAACCUUUUCUGUUGACUUUUUCAUUCAUCUCAGCAGCAGUUUCUACUUUUUUUUUUUUUUUUUAACCCCCCACACAUUCUCAGGAUAUUGAAUUAUCAAAGGAGAUAAAUGAGUCCUUCAAACAGUCAUCCCAGGCCAGGACAAAACUCCCAUCAGGGAUUGAGAUGAGUGUCCAUGUCUUGACAACAGGGUAGGUUGAGAUCCUAAAUUACCAUAUAUUUCAGAAUUUUGUUAUAAUAUUCCAAUCAAUAUUACUGAGGAUUUAAAAUGUUUUUUCCAUUUGGUGGCUGGCAUAUAGGUACUGGCCCACAUAUCCCCCCAUGGAUGUUAGGCUUCCUCAUGAACUGAAUGUCUAUCAGGUUUGGCAUAAGCUGAAGAUGGCUGUUUUCUAUUACGGGUUCUGAGAGUAUAGUGUAUAUGUUUGUGUGACCCUUCUCUUUACUUUUGCUGCAGGACAUUUUUAAGGAGUUCUAUUUAAGCAAGUACAGUGGAAGGCGCUUAAUGUGGCAAAAUUCAUUAGGUCACUGUGUGUUGAAAGCUGAGUUUCCUAAAGGUAAAAAGGAGCUGGCAGUUUCCCUAUUUCAGGUUGGUAUCUUAUAUUGUGCAUUACCUUCAUUGUUGUGCUGUCUGUUCCUUUUUUUUUAAUAGAUGUUACCUUAAAGUUCUAAUAAUACUGUGCUCACAUUUUUAUCGGCCCUCCAGACAGUUGUUUUGAUGUUAUUUAACGAUGCUCAAAAGCUUAGUUUUCAAGAUAUUAAGGAUGCCACUGGCAUAGAAGAUAAGGAACUGAGGAGGACUCUACAGUCUCUUGCUUGCGGUAAAGUACGCGUCCUGCAAAAGGUAGGUGCUUAUUGCUGGAGUGGCAGCUUGGUUUCUUGGUUUGAUAAAGUUUUGUAUACUUUUGGGUCUUCAUUUUUUUCCCUUUGUGAUAACUUUUUUUUUUUAAAAAAAAAAAAUUCUACAGUUGCCAAAGGGAAGGGAUGUGGAGGAUGAUGAUUCAUUUGUGUUCAAUGAAGGAUUUACUGCUCCCCUUUAUCGUAUUAAGGUAUGGGCUUCUGUUAUGCAGCAAUAUUGUGACACACUUUCUACACUAGACUGUUUGAUUUGCCACCUAGAUGUAACUUAACCGUUGUGUUUCUUUGGUAUGCAGGUAAAUGCUAUACAGAUGAAGGAAACAGUGGAAGAAAACACUAGCACCACUGAAAGAGUAUUUCAGGACCGUCAAUAUCAGGUUUGCCUCCGCAGAUUAUGUUAUUCAUUUUGACAAAACAUAAGUAUCCCAUAUGGUUAAUGUGGCUGUGAGUUCCAAGCAGACAUGAAUUAUUUCUUUGUUGUUGAAUGUGUUUCAGGUGGAUGCUGCCAUUGUUCGGAUAAUGAAGACUAGAAAAGUGUUGAGUCACACACUUCUAAUAACCGAACUCUUCCAACAGGUACUACCACCCGUGCUCCAAUUUGAGCUUUUUAUUUACCUUAAGCAUAAUAAGAUCUCUCAUAUCCAGUCACAGUCAUAUUGGACCAUGCCACAAAUAACAAAUAUAACGUGGUAAUUGUUUCAUUGGAUAGCUGAAAUUUCCUAUAAAGCCGGCCGAUCUGAAGAAAAGGAUUGAGAGCCUUAUCGAUAGGGAGUACCUGGAGCGUGACAAGAACAAUCCGCAGAUAUAUAAUUACCUGGCCUAGUCCCCCAUUUUGUCACACACACAAAUGUGAUGUUUUUCUUUGCAUGGCGGCGUAAUCAAAUGUUAUCUCUCCCCUGUACAGAAAGUUGUAGUUCCUUUUUUUUUUCUUCUUCUUUGUUUUUUCGUUUUUUAACCCAACAUUUGUAAUUGUAAAGUAUAAUCGGCCUUUCUUUUGAGACCUUUCAUCUCAUUCUGGACUUGUGAGCUUCUUGAAAUAAAUUACUUAUUUUUUUCUUUCUUUUAAUCAUAUGAGAAGCUGCACCUUGCUGGUUGCUGCAGUUUACAUGAGGUUUAUUUAUUAAUUAUUAUUAUUUUUUUUUAAGGUAGUAAUGUUGGUAUGUAAAGUAUGCUAGUAUUAGUAAUAUAUUUGAUAAUAUGGUAAAAUAUAGCAACAGCAGAAAAUAUAUGAUUCUCCACGAAAUUCCAUGUCAUUCGAUGAUGAUAAAUUCUUAUUUCCCUCCAUACGAAAUCCGAUGGUAUAUAAAUAAUACAACUCAAUUACAUAGCACAGCAAACUGAGAAGCCAUCAUCACAGGCAGAUACAAAAUAUAAAAGUUCCCAAAGAAAGCAGGAAAAAAAAUAAAAAUAAAAAUAAAAAAUAAAGUGAAAUGGGCAAAUUUGGCAGUUGAAGUGAAAUCAAAGGGGAUGAUUGAUAAUCAGACGGCGGGAUCAGAGGGAGAUGGAGAUGGAGCAGCAGCGGGAUGAUGAGGGUAAAGAGGAGCGCGAAUAUUGGUAUCGGCAUCGGCAUCGGGAUCGUAAUCGGGAUUGAGGGAUCGGUCAAUAGCUUCACGGCCUUUUUCGAGACAAGGCUUGCACGCCAUCUCAAUUGCAAUCCAACCCAGCACCACUCCCGCUAUCGCUAUUAUCGCUACUGUUAUUGCAGCCAUCUCUCCUCUUCUCCUCGCUGCCGGUGAUUCUAUUAUUUUAUUUAUUUAUAAAUAUUUCUGUUACUGACUACCGACGAGGAGAAGCUGGAGAGGAGAGAGGAUGUGGAUAUGUUCUGUCCUCAUCACAAACUCACUCACCAGGUUUUAUUUUGAACUUGGGCCUCGCCUUUUUGGCACUAGCGAGCUAAAUUGAAUCCUGAGAGUAGUGUGCUAUUGGCACCCGUCCAUUAUCUCACAACACCCCCCCACCCUUUUUUUUGUAUUUUUUUUUCACUCAUUCAAGCAUUUAUGGGUUAAAAUUUAAACAUAAAAACUUAGAAGCAAGUAAUCCAACACUAAAAAGAUAGAUGCCAUUGCUUUACUUAUAAGCUCCUUCGCCGAAUUGCAAUUUUGCCUUAAAAAAAGAAAAUCAGUGAUGAACAGACCGACGGCGAGCAUGAAGGUGGAUAGGAUCGGGUACGACACAUCCGGCACUAGACUUGUAAUUGCCAUCUCAGAUGUUGGUUAGCGAAAUAAGUCCCCAAUUUCGACUUUCUCUACUUUGCUUCUGACUUGAAUUUUUGUUCAGUUAAUACUUUUAAACUAAAAUAUAAGUAUGUGAACUUAAAUCGACGAUUCGUUUUAUAAAGUUUCAUGACAUUUUCGAGAAAGCAUUUUCAGAAUUCUUUAAAAAAAAAUAUUUUCAGAUUCAUUUCAAAAAACAUUUCUCAAGACAAUGUUCAAACACAUUCCCAUAUUUAUUUAAAAAAUAUUUUAUUUUGUCACAUUUUUCUUAAUUCCACUUUCUAAAGCUAUAAAAUCCUAGAACAUUAAAUAUUAAAUUACUAGUUCUUCAUUAUUCACUAGUGUACGAUGCUCUCACAUCAACUAUUCACAACUGGUGUCAUUAUUGUUUAAACUCAAAUCUACUACUCAACGAAACAACAAUCAUAGUCAAAGUGCAAUCGAAGCUUUUUUAGACCAUACUGACGCCUGCAUACGCUUUUGGACCUUACCCUUCAAACCAAACAACGAAAUCAAUUAAACUCAUACCACUAAGUCCGAAUUUCUAAUCAAUUAAAUUCAUACCAACACUCCAACCUCACUUUAAUCGAGAAAGAACCUAUCCUUGUGACACAUGGCCUAGUGAAAUUCCUACCCCAAACACUCUUAUUAUUCAACGGUUAAAUUGAAAUGUUUAUGCCUAAAAGCAAGCUGCUUGUAAAAAGAAUCACUUGCAUGUUGAAGGAGAUCAUACCAUAGAUCAAUUGUACUGUGUAUUUGAUAACGAGUAAUGACAAUCAAAUCUUUUAAGCAUGUCAUGAUUAGAUUAGAACCUAACAUAAAAUAGAUUCCAUCUCAACAAGCACACCAACCAACCCCGCCCACCCACUGCAAACAACAGCUACUAAGUCUUGUCCCCUAAAGGCUAAAACAAUUUGCUUAACUAUACCAACUGAUCUAACUUUCACCGAUCAGUCUCUUUCUAAUUCUGCAGCUGCAACUAGUUUUGUUGUUAUCCCAGCAAUUUCUGUAACUUCAAAUUCAAUGCAUGCAUGCGUUUCCUCUAUCUCUGUCAAUGAAUGUUUAUCAAAAACACUCAACAGAGACCAACAAAUUUUUUUUUUUUCUUUUAAACUCCAUCAUUCCCAGCAGAUACAACUCCUAAAAACAUUUCCAACUACUUCACAGGAUUAGCAAAAUAUUAUCAUCAGUGUUGUGUAGUGCUUGCUUGCCAUUGACGACCGUAAUACACUAAAAAUUCUAAGAUAUUAGACUAUUUAAAUAAGAGAUAUGAUUGUUAAAACACUUCCAUUGCCAAUUCCUAUAAGGAGGGAAAAUGAAAAAAAAAGGGGAAAAGAAGAAAAGCUGAGCAGCUGUGUAGACAAUACAUUCAUUCUAAUAACACAGAGCUAAUAAAUUUAUUUGAUUACAACUUAUUCAACAACACAGAAAACAUGAGAUCAGAUUAUUUGGAGAACUAAGCAAACAGAACCUGAGAGCUUGAGGGUGUCAAGUCAGAAAAAUUAUCUGGAGCAUCAACAACUUGCCAUUGUACACUGAAGCUCCACUUUUUCUCAGAGGUGCUCAGCCUUGUGAUAUGACCCACAGCAACAUGCAGAUUCCGACCCACAACAUAGACUCUGCAAUCACAUGCAUUUACGGCAAAGGGUUUGCAUAUCUGCUCUGGUAGCGGAGGCCCCUCUAUUGUCUCCCACGAAUCAGUGCUUGGGUCAUAAACUUUGAGCUUCAUUCUUUCAAGCUCUGAAACCACAAACAAAUGCUCAUAAACCACAACACUUGAACCAGUCCACCCUUCUCUCAGUCCAACAGCCAUGCUUUCCCAAUUAUCAGUACUCGGAUCAUAGACCUGACCUCUCGGAGAGACAAAAAAUGGCCACAACCAGCCUUCCGUCACAAGAAGUUUGCCAUCUAGAACUGCAGCAUCAUAAGAUGCCAUGUUUGUUCCCAUGCUUGCAAUGGUGCGCCAAUUUCCCUUUACAGGAUCCAAAACCUCAGCUGAGUCAAGCUCGAAAAGGUCUGCACUGCUUCCUCCGGCCACAUAUAUCAUCCCCCCAAUCACCCCACUAGCAAAAAAUGAUCUGGCUGUAAUCAUCUUGUUCAUGACUGUCCAACGGUUUUUUUGCAUUUCAUACUUCAAGACCAAGUCAAGAGGACAAUCAACAUCAGAGACCAUACCUCCACACACAAACAAAGUACCCUCACGAGGGAUUGAAACACACCUAAAUCCAUGUGGACAAACCUUAUCCUUGCACGGCAUUGCCGGGAUAGUGUGCCAACAAUAGUGGGUAAGGUCUAGAACCUGCCACUGAAUUUUUCCAGUACACUUGUGAAAGGCAAAAACAAAGAGCCAAGGGUCCUUGAAACCCAGUUCCUUUCUUCGGGUAAAAAAACGCUCUUUAUUACCAAGAAGCAGGUGCCAUCUCUUGCAAACAGCUCUGCAGGCUGCAUGGCUCUCAACUGGAAGCCGGAGGAGACAAUUGAGUGCAACAUCAUCAGGAAGGCCCGGAAUGAAUGGUUCUGCUCUGAGAGAUGCUUCUAAUUCAGGUGAAGGAUUUAACAAGGAAGAUUGUAUCACAGCUAACCUAAACUUUGGGGAUAACGUCAUCUGGGAAUCCCCUAGCUUAUGUACAGGCGCUUGUUGUGAUGAUAAUCGAACCCUUUGCAUUUUAAUUGUCUUAAGACUCAAUAUUUUAAGAACCUAUAAUAUCACGAAGGACUUGUUCCACACUCAGAUUUCCUAUUUAUAUUAUGCCUCCAAAUGCAAAUAUUCAAUGAAAAAAAACAACAAUAAAUAUGCUCUAAUUCCAAACGGCAACAGAAAGAGCUAAUCCAGAAUCUCAAUUACCUACGUUUUUUUUUUCCUCCACUCUUACUGCAAAAACAACAAUUCCCUUUCCACCAAUCCUCAUAUGAGAUGAACAUGAAACAAAAAGUACAAACUUACCAAUACUAAAAUAUCCAAAUUCGAAUUCGUAUGUACCAAAAACAAUCAAAAUAUCAACUUGCAAGAAGAACCCAGAUUAUAACUUUUCACACACAAAAGAAAAUAAAAAGAAGAAGAUAUCUAAGCUAUUACGAGGUAAAAGAAAGAAACCCACAAGAACGCAGCUCAUUAAAUUUAAAAAAAAUUGAUUAAACUAUUGCCUAAAAGAAUGGGAAUUCGAAACCCAGUAAAGUUCUCGAAUAACACAACUUGGAAACUAAACAAAAAACAGCAAAAAUUAAUGACAAAAAUUGAAAUAAAAGAAACUUACAGGCAGGUAACUGUGAAAUAAAAUUGGUGAUAUUCGGUUUUGAUUUGUUGCUAAUAGAGGUGACCCAAAGACUCUUUCUUCUUGUUUAAGGAUGUUCAUUCAUUUAAUGAAUUCAGUGGCAAUGGUUUCUUGAUUCUGUAGACAAUAACUCACACGUCGCACGCGUCCACAGACCUUAUAGGUGACGUGGCAAGUGGAAAAGGCUUGUUUCAGUUGUCGUUUUAUGGAGAGUGAAGUACAAUCGCUGUUAGUGAAUGUGUGGAUGAUCCUGUGUAUCUUUUUUGCCACGUGUACGAUUGUGAAGGCUCAAACCAAAAGUGCCAAACGGCGUUGCGUAAGCUGAUUUUGCAUAAUUAAGAUUAAGUGGAUAAUUAGGGAAAAAGAUAAAAUUAUUGAGAAUAAAUUAGAGAUGGCAAUCAAUUUAUGACUCGUGAGUCAUGACAGAGUAUCCAUGAAAGCAGCCAUCCCAAGCCAGACCAGCUGUUUAUUUACACGGAAAAUUAAAAAUUCUUCCCUGAACUAUAGAUUAGAAAUACUUACAGCCAACCUCAAAUAUAUUAUGACAUUUGCACCCUUAAAUUCCAAAAUAUCGCACUUAACCCCCUUAUACUAAUAAAAAUUAAUAUAUUUUAUUAAGUUAUAAUAAAAUGUUCAUAUUACCUCUUUACGAAACGUAAACAUUUAUGAACAUGAAAUAUUAUGUAUAUAUUAUGUCAAUAUUAUUCUUAAUGAGUUGAGUUACUUAUCUAAUUUAUGUUUUUUUUUUCAUAUUUUCUUGGUAUAAAAACUGAAAAAUGUAAACAUAUGGGCAAUAAGGUAUAUGAAGAUUUGUCAAAAUUGAUUUUAUGUGUUAUCAAUAAGAGAAUACAAUGCCUUACGUAAGAAAUAAAAUUAAGAUAUAUAAUCCAUGAUAUGGUGAAAAUGAAAUAAAAUGAUGGUUAUCUUGUUAUGAAAUAAAACUUAAUAAGAAAAUUCAAUAUACAAAUAGCUUAUGUUUAUGCCAAAUUUCUAAAUAAAAAAUAUAAAUCAAUUAAAUAACUAAACUAUCAAUGACAAUAUUGUUAUAUCACACACAAAGAAUAUUUUAUUUUUAUGGAUGUUUGUGGUUUGUAAAAUGACUUAAAUUGUUUAGGGGCAAUACGGACUUUCAAUUAUAAUUUAACAAGAUAUAUCAAUUGUUGUUAGUAUAAGGGGUUAAGAAUAACAUCUCCAAAUUUGAAGGGACAGUGUCAUAGUCCAUUUGAGUUUGAGUGUAAGUGUUUCGCACAUAUAUUUGAGAGAGAAUCUGUAAUUUUUCCUUUAUAAAAAUGAAACUUCUCAGGCGUGAGGAUAUUUGAAUUCAUUAAUUUUCUUUCUACACUUCUUUUUAAUUCAGAAUAAUUUUAUUAUCAAAAUAUUUUUUAGUAACACGUCUAGAGCCUUAUAAUUCUUCAUCUCAAGUUUUCAACACAUUAUCCUCUCACCUCGCAUGCCAUGAUGAUACUACUGGUUACUUGUUCUUUUAAGAGAAAUAGAGAGCAUUCACUUAUAUACCACUAAUUAUAUUGUCAAUUUAUUUGCAAAAAAAUGGUACAAAUCUACAGAUGUAGAGAUAGAUCUAAAUCUGCUGGGACCUCCUGUUCAGCAAGGCAGGACCUGGCUUCUCCAUAGUCUUAACAAGAGAUGAUUCCUUGAUUUGAGGCUUCUGUAUUUCCACAGGCCAUCUGGAGACAAUCUUUGCCCUUUUUGAUCUUUUCAUCACAUCAAUGUUUGCAAGGGAAUCAAUUGGGUAAAUCCUCUCGCCCUGUCCAAAAUUCAAGAAACCUACCAUCUUGGACACAACCUUCAGCCAGGCCUGAACACCGAUAAAGAUUGAUGAAACAGGAACCAAAAAGUGUCAGUUUCAAACCAGGAGAUUGAUUUAAACCAAGCAACCACUGUGAAUAGUUAUAGCAGAGCUAGUAAAUGAAUGCUUACUAAGGUUGGGUUGAGAGUUCUGCAAGACACCUCUAUAGAAGAACGACUUACCAUCUUGGCAAGUUUGGAUCUUAUCAUUACGCAAUUUCUGGACUCCAUUCAAGCCUAAAGACAAUGAAACAUCCAAAGGGAAACCAGCGGACGGAGUGCUACCAGAUCCAGCAAAAGCUGUUGACAAAUAGCAAUUUGAAAGGUUGAGUUCAUUACUGCGAAUGUCGUAGGAAGAUUUUGAGACAUUUUGAGCAUUGCUGAUUUUACAACUAUAUUCAGAGAACUUACUUGCAUUCAUCGAGAAAGUUAAAUUUGAGCUGGACCUCUUAUGGAAAGCUAGAUUGUUCCCAACAACUUCACAAGAAUUGCCAGGUUGGUUGCUGGACAGGGGAUCAACGAUGGUGCUAGCAGAGCCAAUGGAAGCACAAGAAUUACUAGGGCAAUUCCUCCUCCAAGCUGCCUUCAACUGGACAUUAUGAGACCUAAGAUGACCUCUAAGAGAGCGAUGGUUAGCAAAUGAUUUUCUGCAAUAGAUGCAAGAAAAAGCACUAGUGCCCUUUUCUAGGUUUUCUCCGUCAGCAGCUGAAGGGAGGUUCGCCAUUGAAGUUGUAAACAAGACCCAAAAUAGGGUCAACAAGAAGAGAAGAGAAAGAGGAAAUGCAAGGGAAACCAUGCGGUGACGAAGAAUGCCAACUUUUUUCCCCGUUUUACAUUUUAGGAGAGAGAAAUGGGUCUUAUCGGUUAGACUAAUUAAUGUAAAAUGACAAUCCUAAUUAAAAUCAUUUAAGAAGAGGAAAGACAUAUACUAAAUAUGGAAAGACAUUGUUAGCAUUGAAUUAUAUGCAAUGGCAGCUAAACCUGGCCUUAUCCUUAAAGCACCAGCACC
RNAcentral lists this long non-coding RNA (59765 nucleotides) under Citrus maxima (pomelo). Its description in RNAcentral is "long non-coding RNA (CMAX_LNC001120)". Lineage: Eukaryota; Viridiplantae; Streptophyta; Magnoliopsida; Sapindales; Rutaceae. The record is from RNAcentral.